CGGCGCUCAUCUCACUUUGUUGGCCGAGGGAGCCGGCGUACAGCUUCCGGGUCAUGUGGCCAGCAUGACUAAGCCGCUUCUGGUGAACCAGAGCAGCGCACGGAAAUGCCGUUUACCUUCCCGCCAGAGCGGUACCUAUUUAUCUACUUGCACUUUGACGUGCUUUCAAACUGCUAGGUGGGCAGGAGCUGGGACCGAGCAACGGGAGCUCACCUGUUGCAGGGGAUUCGAACCGCCGACCUUCUGAUCGACAAAGCCUAGGCUCUGUGGUUUAACCCACAGCGCCACCCACGUCCCUAAGCAUUAGUUAGCAUAUGUAUAUUUGUGUCCACACUUGUUUUCUUCUUUUAUUAUGCAGUUCAUUUUUCUUUUUCUUUUUGAGGGUGUGUGUGUUUGUGUGUGCAUGUGUGUGUGUGUGUGUGAGAGAGAGAGAGAGGCCACCGACCUUUCAGUGGGCAUUCACUAGCGAAAUCGUAUUCAGAAGCAAUGCAUGUGCAGAAAUUCUAACUAACAGCAAGAAUUUCUUCCUGGAAAGCUGCAAAGAGUUGAUUACAAAGAACAGCUAGAGACAUUUAUGCAGCUUCAAGAAUAUACUGCAUAUUUCAAAAUGCAUACCAAACAGACUCUCUCUGGUGUAAUGAAUGUGCCACUCUGUGAACAUAUUGUGGGGGUUGUGGGGGGAAGAUAAUAAAAUGGCAUAUGCAAACAAGCUUACUCUUUAGGGUUUUGAAAUUAUAGUUGUGUAGUUUCAAAGAAGAAUGAGCCAGCCUCGCCUUACCAUGCAUGAAGAGGGCUGCAGAACAGCACAAUUAAAGUGAAACCAAGUUUUUAUAUUGUCCUUUACUCAGAAAACAAUCACCAACUGUCAUUUUUACUGCCACAUCUACAGGUUGAACAUAUGUACAUGCUGUUAUUGGAAAGGAUAAAAUUAUCACAACACUUUUGCCCAUGUAAACUGGAUUCCCUCGCGCAAUAAAUCAUUGAAAUUGGAUCAUUUUCCUUUCCUUUUUCUAGAACAUCUCCUAAUAGCAGGUGUGGGUAGGGGAGACUGAAAAGAGAAUGGCUUGAGUACUCUUUUUCCCUUUAAUGCAACUGACAAGAGUCACAUUUGCAGAAUAAAAGGCACCAACAACAAAAUGAUGCAUAAAGAGGAAAUAGCUUGGCUUUUUUGCUCCUGAUUUCACUGAUGUUGGUAGGAAAUAAGGCUGUCAUCCUUUAUAUCAUUACCUGGGAGUAAGUUCCACUGAAGUAAGUGAGGCUUACUUGUUUUGGGUUUCUAAACUGUUUAGUUCAUUUCUUACACCAGUACUUGGGAAGUCUCAAAGUAAUUUGCAGAACAAAGAAGUAAAAAUACAGAAAGUACAAUGUAUAUUAAAUACCCAUUAAAAGAACAACACCAUAGAAACAUAUUGCAGUGUUCACCUACCAAAAAUAAUCUAAAAAUUUAAAAUACUCGCCCCCACAACCCCCGCAUUCAACAAAAAAAUAAGCACCAGACAAUCACAAAAUCCCAGGCCACUAGUGCUGUUCAAAUGUCCAGGACACCAAAAAAGAUAAUGAUUAUUAUUGUUAUUAUUUAAUUAAAUUUAUAUAUCACCCUUCAUCUGAAGAUCAUAGGGCAGAUUACAGCAUAAAAAUACAAAAUGAAAACACAAAAUACAAAUGAUCAUAAUUUUUUUUUUUAAAAAAAGACAAUAACCUCCUCCCAUAAACACAUUUAAAAGGACAUAGACUGCUUAAUCAGCCAAAGGCCUGGUCAUAGAGGAAUGCUUUUACCUGGCGCCAGGUAAAACAUCCCCAAGGCAAGCAUUCUAUAACCAGGGGGCUACCACAGAAAAGGCGUUUUCUCCAGUCACCCACUCCAUUUCCUUGUGAAGUGAGACUAUUGGGGACAUACCUGUUUGUUUGCAAAUGUAUAGGUGGAGCAGAGGGAAAGCAAACAUGCGUACAUACCUGUUAAAUUCCCAAGUAGGGGCUGUUUUCAAAGGGAGCAAAAGUUUUCAUGAAAACACCAUUCAUCCCUGCUGUAAGUUAAAACAGAGGAGUUAAAGCCCUGCAUAAAAAGAGGGAGAGUAUUUUAUUAAAAGGCAAGAUGACACUUUUACCUAUAAUUUAAAGAAGUCAGAAAUCCUCACAAACAGCUGCAAGUGAAUUUGCCGCCAUCACCCUUCUUUCAUAUCAGGAGUAAAAAAAAAUUGUUUCGAAUAGGGAAGCUUGGGUUUUACGAAUGUUCAUCCAUCUACCUAUUAAAUUUAUACCCUGCCCUGCUUCCCAAAGGAGCCUAGGAAAGCAAGCCACAAGUGAUAAAGCAAUAAAAACUUCUUUACAACAUCUUUGUCCCAAGCUAUAUAUGGCUUUUCACAUCAAAACCAGCACCUUGAACUUAGUCCAGUAGCUCAUGGAAAGCUACCUGAUAAGGCUAAGCCAUCGUUAUGGCCAUUUUGCCCAAGCCAAGGAGUUAACAGCAUUUUUUUGGAAUGUGUCUGCCAGCUGUUUUUGAUUGAUUGAUUCAGUUUGUACUUUAUUCUAUUUUACCUGAGCUGUGAAAAAGUUUGGGUAAAUGUUUUACCACCACACCAUUAUUUGCAAUUUGAUACUAUUUAGUCUUCAGAGGCUGAAAUAAAUGAACACAUGAAAUGGAAAUGCAGCUCAGAGUAAACAGCAACCUAAGGUUUACACCCACUCUUUCUGAAGCCAAAGUUCCAUUUAAUAUGCUUUUGUCUAGAAGGUGUAAAUUAAAAAAGAACCCACAGUAAUUUAAUUUGCACCUUGCCAGAGUUCCUUGAAAUACAAUUUCCAUCCACUUAAACUGCACAGGAAUAGAUAAGUGUAAGAGAAUAUAACUGGGAAUUAUUCCUACAGAAAGGGAGGAAGACUUUAUAUAGAGAUAUAAUUCCCUGAGGAAUUCCAAAAAAACUUCAGUUUCCCAUACAUUUUCUAUCAAUAAUAGUUAAUAGAAUGUGGGCAGCCAUCUUUUCCCCAUACAGCUUCACUGGAAACCAAACUACAGUGGUACCUCGGGUUACAUACGCUUCAGGUUACAGACUCCACUAACCCAGAAAUAGUGCUUCAGGUUAAGAACUUUGCUUCAGGAUGAGAACAGAAAUCAUGCUCCAGCAGCGCAGCAGCAGCGGGAGGCCCCAUUAGCUAAAGUGGUGCUUCAGGUUAAGAACAGUUUCAGGUUAAGAAUGGACCUCUGGAACGAAUUAAGUACUUAACCCGAGGUACCACUGUACUCCAUCAUGUAGCCCUGUUCCCAGUGCUAUUCUUAAGAGAUUCUUAAACUAAUUUGAAGUCAACUACUGAAUACAGUAGCUUGCCAUUUUUUAACAUUUUUUUUUUGAAAAAAACCUUCUGACUGCUUUGUAAGUGGUGUGAUUUUUACAGAAACCCUACAAAGAUCAAAGAAAUUAUCUUCACUAGAGGACAAAGAUCUAGUGGAGGUGAGGUCAUGCGCUGCCCUAGUUUCAAGGAACCAAGAAUUAUUAUUUCAAUUAUCCCGAUAUCUCUGCUUAAAGACAAGCUCCACUAAGUAUGGAACCCGCAACAAACCCCUGACAUAUCUUGCUGACAACUUCCUCUUUCAGAAAAUGGAAGAAGAAGUACUCUGUGUGUAUGCAGUCUGGUUUGUAGCAGGAUUUAACUUGGUGGUAUAUUGGUUGCCAAUGAGGACAAUGUGGCACCUAUUGCCAUGAUUUGGGGCAAAGGGAGGCAUGGCCAAAUAGAGGGGGGCAAAUAUUCAGAGGAGGUUCCUCUUCCAUUGCUAAUCCCCCUGACUUGAUAGUGCUGCUACUGAAUGUCACAUUGGUUCAUAAGAAGACCUCAGUCAUACUCAGUCUCAGUCAGUUUUAUUGCACAUAGCCAAAGGCUGCCGCAAUGUACACAGAAUUAUUUGACAAUUAAAAGAAAAUAUACUGAAUUGGUAAAAAAAGACUUAAAACAUUUAUAUUAUUAAAACAUUACAUACUCUAAACAAAGCUAUAAAAGUACCCCAAUGUACAAAUAAAAACAUUAAACGAUAAAAUUCAUAAGCUAAAAUCAUCACAUGGUCACUAAUGUUAAAAACAAUAUCAAUUAAUACAGUGUGCAAUUUAUACUCAGAGUUUGGUGACAAAGAUAGAGCAUAGCCCAGGAUGCUUCACAGAACUUGCCCAGGAUGUCUCCCACAGCAUUGACAAGAAGGUGCUGCCAGAAUCUUGGUAAGUUAAAAAGUAGAGAAGUAAAAAAGGAAAAACUACUUCCCUGGGUGGCAGUCAACCCCAACUACAGUCCUGUUAUCAGCGGAGCUCCGAAGCCUGCCUACCAAGCCAAGUUGCUGAAUUGCAGCUUAUUGCCAAACUUAAAACCAUGGAGAGACCUGGUCUGAAAUAGAGACAUUGGAUUCUUAUCUCAUCAUACACAGCUUACUUGUGGAUAAAGAGACCAACCUGCCAUGGACCACCAAGACCUGGGUGGGUGAGUAACGUGAGCCUAAUCUCACUACUCUGCCCACCCAAGUACUCGGUGCAGCACUGUGGCAGACCAAGAGACCAUGUAUGUGUGUGCAUUGUCUCUGUGAUCCAUGGGACUUCUCUGCCACCAAGCAACUACAUCAAUUAGGAGUUGGACUGGUUGAGAGACAGGUUGGGGAUGCUGCAGGCAUAUUGCCCACUCUGCGGCUUAUAUCCUCCCUGCCUGAGCUGGCUGAGGCAGUCUUGAAUAUGGUACCAAAGACUAUUGUUCUCAGGGGCUUCAACUGACUUUGGAGUGAGGAGCCUAUGACCCUCCAGAUGUUGCUGAAGUAUAAGUCCCAUCAGCCCCAGCAAGCAUGGGAGCUGUAGUUCAGAAACAUCUGGAGGGCUAAGGGUUCUCCACCUCUGCUGUAUUUCCUCUGCUUGGCUCUCACUUUCCUAAGCCAUCUACAUCACACAUCCUCAGACAAAAUCCCACUCUGACCAACUGUGGCUUGAAAUCUGCCUUUUAAUCUCCAAACAGGGUCUCUCUCCAGCCAAUCAUUCACCCCCACCACACCCUCAUCAGGUCAAAUCUCUGCUCCAAUGGGAUAAGGCAGAAUACCCACUGACUGACCAAUUAGGUCUCACAAGUUUUCAGCCCACUGAAGAAAGAAACCUUGUUCCCAGAGCUACCUUUGUUUUGGCACAAUGUAACAUAUCAGUGAAAUGGAUUGGUUGAUACCCUCCUGCUGAUUCUUUGCAGCGCCACAGCUCUCAGAAGAAAGUCUAGUUCACGUACAGUUAGACCAUUUAUAUUCAGCUACAUAUGUCUGAUUCCCAUUACACAUGUUAAAAUAGACUUUACCUCAGAAAUGAAGGUUGUUUCUCCAAAGUGAUGUUGCCCCUGGCAUGAACCAAGACACUGAUAGAAGGCCCUUGACCUCUUUCUCUCCACCAUUAAUGGCAAGAGGAGCUUCUGUCAGAUUUCUCCCAUUACACACCUGAAUCAUAGGGCAAAAUGUGAAGAAAUGCAAGAUCUACUUAAAGGGAAAACUAUGAGUCUUGGUUAUGUUCAUGCCCACCUGCCUGGCAGACAGGAGGGUGGGUAAAAUAGCACCUUGCACAUGCCUAAAUCAGAGAAAGUAGCUGAGGUAGAUAAGAGCUUCUGCUGCAACCGGGGAGGUUAAGAGAAAUAUCGACUGUGUCUUGGAGUUUGCAGGUGAGGUGCAGAAUGAGGAGUGGCACUGCCUUAGGAUGGAGAUCAGAGAGAAAAUUUCUGUGUGCCACUUUGAAUCCAAAGGGUACCAGUUGUCCAGUCCUAUUGUAUUGAGCCAGCUCUCUAUAAGUGCUCUUUCUACUGUAAGUCCUCCUUCGCUGGUGCAGCAUGUCUUAGAACAGGGGUCAGCAAACUUUUUCAGCCGUGGGCCAGUCCACUGUCCCUCAGACUUUGGGGGGGGGGGGUGGACUAUAUUUUGAAAAAAAUAAAAACGAAUGAAUUCCUAUGCCCCAGAAAUAACCCAGAGAUGCAUUUUAAACAAAAGGACACAUUCUACUCAUGUAGAAACACCAGGCAGGUCCCACAAAUAACCCAGAGAUGCAUGUUAAAUAAAAGGAUGACAUAUUCUAUUCAUGUAAAAACACGCUGAUUCCUGGACUGUCCACGGGCCAGAUUUAGAAGGUGAUUGGGCCAGAUCUAGCCCCCGGGCCUUAGUUUGCCUACCCAUGUCUUAAAAUCACACUAAAUUAUCACUGCCAAACUCUAAAUGUGAUUGUGCAAACAUCAAAAAAAUAAUAUUUUUUUAAAAAUAAUCAAAGAAGUGGAGAAAAUGGGCUUAUAGAUUACCAACUCAACCCCCAGCUCUGGGGCUCAUUGUGGGUAGAAAUAUUCCCUUACUGAUUCAGUCAGCUAUCUUGGCACAUUUUAUUUUCUGAGCUUUUACUACUUUGUUACUCACCAGCCCUCUUUGUUUUCAUAGCUGCAUCAUCAUUUCAUCUGCCCGUAGCUGCCAGCCAAAUUGCUACAUAGAAGUGGUAAAACUGAUUGCUCUUAUGAUUGUUUUCUGGGCAGAAAACAGAAGAGACUAUGACUAAUAGCUUUCCCUGGUAACUUACUCUAUUAAUAAUAAUGUUUUGAAUUGAUUUCGUAUGUUAAUCAUUUAAUAAUGUGCUGUGAUUUGGGUCGGGUUUUCCCAAGCCAUGCCCAUGAGCAGCACAAGAACAUACAUGCUGACAUGUGCACACACAAUUAUACAUUAAUAGAUCUGUUUCCAGAUUCUCUGUGAGCUAGUUAAACAGGGUUUUAGUGGCACUUUUAAUGAAACCAGGGCACAUUGCAUUACACACGGAGUGAUUAAUGACCUUGCUUCUAAAUGGCUUCCACAGCAACAAAAUGCAUUAAAAGGGCAUUAAGGCGAGCAAAACUGAAAACAAAACAAAAAGCUUGAAAGGGAAAACAAUGUCUUGCUGAGUUCAGGAUGCAUAAAGGCCUUUGCACCUAAAUCCAAUGGGCUUCUAUGAAAAGAAUCAAACACACUAGGAUCUGCCGCAAGCUAGUGUGUGCGUGUCUCUGUGCCUAUCUGCCUUGGAGAUUGUAGAAGCAUAGAGUUGAACCCCCUGCAGUCCAACCCCCUGCAAUGUAGGAAACCUGCCCACAGACAUCCCUGGGUGGACUUGAACCAUCAACCUUCUGGUUAACAGCCCCACGUAAUGACCCAUUGUGCUACAGGACAGAUUCUAAAACAGGGUUACUUCACAUUAUCUCUUCUUCUUCUUCUUCUUCUUCUUCUUCUUCUUCUUCUUCUUCUUCUUCUUCUUGUCAAGUAUCUAGCCCUUUCUGCUAGAGAGACAUGAGAGGAAAUGUGCAAACAAAAUUCCAUCCAACCCCUCCGCAAAGAAUGGGAGUGGGGGAAUCUGCAAAGAGGUCUUCAGAACAGUUCCCAGUGUUUCUUGGGGAUAUCUCCAAGCAAUUGUGCAUAGCAUUGUGCUGUUAGUCUUCUUCCUUUUAUGUUAAUUUAGCAUAUGUAGUAGGGCGGUUCAUAAAAAAAAAAAAUUGUUAAAAAAUGUCUGCUCCAAAGGUCUUACCUUUCUACACUAGGGAUUAUAUAGCUAUACAGUGGUACCUUGGGUUAAGAACUUAAUUCGUUCUGGAGGUCUGUUCUUAACCUGAAACUGUUCUUAACCUGAGGUACCACUUUAGCUAAUGGGGCCUCCUGCUGCCACUGCGCUGCCACCACACGAUUUCUGUUCUCACCCUGAAGCAAAGUUCUUAACCCAAGGUACUAUUUCUGGGUUAGCGGAGUCUGUAACCUGAAGUGUCUGUAACCUAAAGCAUCUGUAACCCGAGGUACCACUGUAUCUGAAAUUCCAUGCUUAUCAGUUAAUAUCUUGACCCUGCUCCACUGAAUUGAAAUUUCAGCCUUCACGACAUAGGGAAACGGCCAAGUAAACAGCUAUUUUUGUGGAGGAGGGUCAAGAUAUUAACUGAUAUGCCUGGAAUUUCAGAUAUAGCUAUAUAAUCCCUAGUGUAGUAAGUUAAGACCUCUGGAGCAGGCAUUUAAAAAAAAGGGUUUUAUGAACCGCCCUAAUAUGUAGGGAUAUAGUGAGGAACAUGAACAUUCAGACAUUGGAGAUCUCACCCGCAGUCCAACAUGCAACAGCCCAGAUGAUGAUUUAGCAUCUAAAUGAGAACUAGACUUCUGUCAGCGUGUAAAGCUGAUUUGAAGCACAGUGGUUGAUCCCUGACCUCCCCAAAAUGGUGUUUCUGCAUUCUAACUCUAUAGAAAAAGGGAAAGGAAAGAGCAAAUGUAGCCAAUAAACAGAAAAUAUGUAGGGCUCCUGUUCUGGGGCUAUAAUAUGUAUUUUCUUUCUUUUUCUGUUUCCUUCUUUUUUAAAAAAAGAAUACAGUGCAAAAUGGGUUGCAAAUCAGUUUCAAAAGUCCUGAAAUGUUGGUGGAACUUGCGUUAUUGGCAUAUCUGGAAUGCUGUUUUAUGAGGCAACCCUCAGCCAUCCAUCAGUCAUCAAGAGGGAUAUAUAAUUUUCGACUGCUUAAAGAGAGAGAGAGAAAGAGAACUCCUUUUUUCCCAAUCUCAAGAGAAUGUAAAACAUCGAAACAUAAUUGCUAAGCAAGUGACGUUUUAAAGAGAUGCACUGUCUGUGUGGCAAAGUGUAUGGCUGUAAAGAAUUAAAAGAUAAUAAUAAAAACAAAGCCAGCUGAAAAAGCAGCCAGGCAGCCACCUGACAACAGUUGAAAUAUAGCAUAAUUCUGACUACAUAAUUAGAGGCUGGCUUUCUGAAAAGAUAAUUCAGAGAUCUUUCAGAACCUCCGAGGGUUUGAAGCAAAUAUUCAAGGCAAGCUGGAACUGGGUGAAGCUUUAUUUCUGCAAGGCUGGAAGGUAAUAGGAAGUCCUCUAAAAUAAAGGUCGCCAACUUCCUGCUUCUUUGCAUGCUGAAUCUGAAACAAUGGUUUGAUCAACUGGACACUUCCAUCCAAGCCUGAUCCUCAAGAAUCUGAAUACGGGCUACAACUUCAAUAAUAUUUACCUGGCAAGGGAGACUCCUUGAUUAAGAAGGCAGUUUUCCCAUCCCUUGCACUGUGGGAGUGCUGACCCCUGAAAUUUCUCCAAAUGCAGAAAACUCGACUGCAUAAUAAUCUUUAUUCUUUGCUUUUACUAUGUACAGUGGUACCUCGGGUUGCAUACGCUUCAGGUUACAGCCGCAUCAGGUUGCGUGUCGAGGUCCCCAAGCCACCCCCCAAAUAACUCACAAUGCACACUUAAUUUUUGUUUAAGGUUUUUGGCAUAAUUUUGGGCACAACUUUAUUUAAAUACAAAACCGUGAGUGGUUGUUUAGGCAUUGGUUAAGACUAUCUGUCCCCCCGCCUGGGGACAGAACUGACUUCCGGGCACCACCGAAAGACAUUGAGGGAAAACAAGUCGGGGAGAAAUGGAGCUGAGUCACAGACCCUCAAUUCUCAUCCGAAUGCUCCCCGAAGGCUUGCCGGCCCUAGUCCCAUUCCAGGGAUUGGACGAAAAGAUGGCAAGCCCCAGGAUUCCUUUAACGGAAUUCCCUUUCCGCAGCAACCAUGGAGGGGCAGGCCCAGCCUAUCCUAACCCCUCCUCCACCAAUUUAUAACCAAUGCCUAACCGCAACCUUACAAGUUGUGAUGAUUUGCUACGCAGUAGGCAAAAACCAAAUGGCCCAGCCAAUCAGCCAGAUGGACAAAAUUCCUACCAGGCCCCUGCCCCAACGGCAGACGACCCCAUGACAGGCAUAGCAAGGUCAAAGCGAACAACCCCUUACUCAAGGGCGGGUGGGCGGGUGAUCCGUUGCACGCAGCAAAGAGAAAGCUCCAGGCUGCGUGCAGAGUAUUUAAACAUUUUACCCCUCCCACCAAAAUUGCAACAUAACUUUUACCCCAGCAACCCAGUGAACCAAUCACUGCCCCAGGCCAUCUUUAGAGACCCUGCCUGGUAACAGAGGGGUGGCUCAGCAGACCCCACCGCAACACGUGCUCUCCAUGAAGGAGAACACGCUUUACAGACUCUGCUAACCCAGAAAUAGUACCUCGGGUUAAGAACUUUGCUUCAGGAUGAGAACAGAAAUUGUGUAGCGGUGGCGUGGCGGCAGCUGGAGGCCCCAUAAGCUAAAGUGGUGCUUCAGGUUAAGAACAGUUUCAGGUUAAGAACGGACCUCCAGAACGAAGUGCCGUAUUUUUCGCUCUAUAAGACACACCAGACCAUAAGACACACCUAGUUUUUGGAGAAGGAAAACAAUAAAAAAAAUAUUCUGAAUCCCAGAAGCCAGAACAGCAAGAACAGCUGCACAGUGAAAGCAGGAUAGCUGCGCAGCCUGCAUUUGCUCCAUAAGAUGCGCACACACUUCCCCUUACUUUUUAGGAGGGAAAAAGUGAGUCUUAUAGAGCAAAAAAUACGGUAAGUUCUUAACCAGAGGUACCACUGUACUGUGUUUUGUGUAUGUAUGUGUGUGUGUGUAUAUAUAUAUACAUAUAUAUAUAUAUAUAUAUAUAUAUAUAUAUAUAUAUAUAUAUAUAUAAUGUUGUGAACCAUCCUGAGAUCUAUGGGUAUUGGGCAGUAUACAAAAUUUUAAUAAUAAUAAUAAUAAUAAUAAUAAUAAUAAUAAUAAUAAUAAUCUAGUUUCUUUUCAGCUCCAUCUAACUCAACCUUCUCUAUGCAAGUAUCAUCCAUGUUGCCUUCAUGGUUGUUCCAACUGAUUCAAGUACAUUUAGGUAAGUUCUACAAGGAAGUUGGAAGAAUAAAGGUGUGCUGCUUCUACUGUACCUGUAUGCCAUAAUUAGGGUGAUAACUUUCACCCAGGCACAUUUGGGUCAUCCGGUGAAGGCUGUGCCUGUGCUCUGGGGAUGGUUUGGUCUGCCUAGGAAGUUCUUGCUUUCCAGCCCCUGGGUCUUCCUCUCAGUGCCCCCCUGCCCCCUUCAGCCCCUGUUUCCCACUCUCAACUGAGGCUAGGGAUGAAUCAGUAAUGUUGAUGUGAACCAAUCUAAGUUGCAAUUUGCAACAAUGAGAAAAAAUGAAACGAAACACCACUAUCCUUCAAAAGUCAAACUUCUACGGAGUUUGUGCUACAGCAUUCCAUUCACGAAAGCAUAACAAAAAAUGUAUAUUAAUGCAUGAAGUAGGGGAAAUAGUAUACAAAAUGCAUUAUGUUAUGGAAAUUUGCUUGCGAAAAUGUUAGUGGUUUUUUUUUUUUUUUUUUUAAAAAAAGAUGCAAACUGAUGUAGAAAUGUGAUGUGCUGAACUAGACUUGAAAAAUGAGGAACUGAGAUAAAUUGAAUUUGACAGAUUCAUCCAUCCCUAAUUGAGAAAUAUAUUUCUGAAGACCUCCUGGGGGCUACCAAGACAUUGGACAGACAUUCUUCCAACAGCACAGCCACCUAAAUGUUGACAAGAAACAUUUAUUGGAGAAUUAUGAACCUCGGGGGAUGGAAGAGAUCCCCCAUUAAGGAAAACUAAAGACAAAUUUGACAUCCUUGGGUAUUCUGAAAAUUUGUGUGCAACAUUUUAAAGUUUGACACUACUGGUUCUAGUUUAGAUGCACUUCUCAAUCUUCUCCUUAAUAGAUAGAUGCUUCUACAUAACUUUGGUAUUUAUUGAUGCCCACAACUCUUUCUAAACUUUUGAAAGCUAAAUUACUAAGCCAUCAACCUUGUUAAGAGGAAUGUCAUUUCUGAAAAGGCCAGAUUUAUUGGGAGCUUGGAAGAAAUACAGCCUCCUGGUUGUUCUUUCUUUUCACUGCUGCUUCUCUCUCUCUCUCUCUCUCUCUCUCUCUCUCUCUCUCUCUCUCUCUGUUUUAAUGAUGUUAAUAUUUUGAAAGGUUGCAGAGUUAAUAAAUAUGAUGAAUUUUCCAAGUCUUAUGAAAACUCAGCGUUUCCCUCAAAAUUCACCAGGCAUGACAUUUGGAAAAGGUGGCUAUAUUCAUGUACAUCAGGGACACCUAACUCCCAAGAGGCUGCUAUCUACUCAAAGAAUAAAAAAAUGGCAGUGAUCUACCCAUUUUGGGGGGGCAGGGUACAGGUCAAAAUAGUGGAGCUUUUCUUAGAAGGGAACAGUAAAUACUUAUGCUGCUUUGGGGGGGGGGGGGUUGCGGCAAAAAAUGAUAAACAAUAAGUCAUCCCGCCAGCGUAAACUCCAUAUUCAAUUCUUGAAAUCGUGCACGGAUAAAAGAAAGAUGGAGGGGCGGGGCCAAAUGCUCCUCCCCCCCCCCACGGGUGAAAAUAAGCCUGCAAUUGACUUAUAACAACGGGGGCCAACCUGUCGAUUGCAGUCGACCUGUUGGACAUCCCUGAUGUACAUUAAUAGUUUUAUCACAUCAUAACACUUUCAUAAAGGUAAAGGUAAAGGGACCCCUGACCAUUAGGUCCAGUCGUGGCCGACUAUGGGGUUGCGGCGCUCAUCUCUCAUCUUGCUUUAUUGGCCGAGGGAGCCGGCGUACAGCUUCUGGGUCAUGUGGCCAGCAUGACUAAGCCGCUUCUGGCGAACCAGAGCAGCGCAUGGAAAUGCCGUUUACCUUCCCGCCGGAGCGGUACCUAUUUAUCUACUUGCACUUUGACGUGCUUUCAAAUUGCUAGGUUGGCAGGAGCAGGGACCAAACAACAGAAGCUCACCCCAUCGUGGAUUCGAACCGCCGACCUUCUGAUCGGCAAGCCCACCCGCGUCCCAACACUUUCAUGGUAUCAACCAAAUCACAUGGGUUGUCAGCUGACAUAGCCGUGAAGACAUGCAAAGUUAAAGAAAGUGAGCCCCCCCCCCCCAAGUAAUAUGGUGUCAAGAAGAUGGAGAGGCUAGUGGGUCAAAAUGGAUUAAAACACCCUGAAUUAGUUUUCAAUAAGUGCUGAAAAAGUACCAAACUGGAAUUUUUAGAUACUCACAAAAAUGAUCACCAUACUAGGAAGUAGCAGCAGUAGCGUGCUUCCUGGGAAACCUCCCCUUCCCUUUCCUUGUUUAGUCCAUUCUGUGGAAAGUGAAGGUACAAGCUCUGCCAUAGUUUGUUUAUAUGAAGGAACCAGGAUUUUAAAUAUACACUCACAAAAUUAUUUUACUUCAGAAAACAGGACUUUUGUGGCUCUGUUUCUCAGGGGGGUUACAUGACGUGUCAUUGGUAAGGAAACAAACAGAGGUGUGAAAAUAGCAUUUUAAUGCAUUUUUUUCUGCUAAUAAAUAAUAGCCACAAUAGCCAGAGUGGCUCCAGGGACCAGACACACAAGAAAGUGUUGGCGACAGAAAGGAAUGAAACUGUGGAAUUCUCAUCACUCUCAAGAAUUGUGGUCUUUUCUAUGAACACCUGUUCAGGGCAUGCUCUUUCUAUUCUACAUAUUCCUUUUAAACUAUGAGCACAACACAUGAUUUUAUUUCAUAAGCAAAUACUUCCUGUACAACUGACUAAAGUGUUAAACUUUGCUAGAGCAAAUCACAGCUGCUUCUGGUUUCAUCAAUUUCAUUCUUAAAAGAAUAACACAAUUUUUUUCUCCAGGAGUGGAAAGAACAAUGAUUUAUUUAUUUAUUUGUCAAUUUAUCAUACUCAUUUCAUAAAACAUAACAAGGCAGCUUACAACAUUUAACAUGCAGAAACCCCACUGGGGUGUGUGUGUGUGUGCAUGUCCUACCUAUCUAUUUACCUAUCUAUCAUAAUGAAAAACAUCAGUAUACAUAAAAUAUUGUAAUGCCAAGGAAGAUAAUGUUGGGUGUUGCUCUCUCUUGAAGCAACACUCUGCUUACACAGGUUUGGAGGGUCUACUGAUAAAUGGAAAUUAAAAGAUUUUCAGCUUUCUUUAAUUUGCAUAGUUGAUAGACGCAAAUAUGUCUGUCCAUCACCUUUGGGGAGAAGAGUCCCUGAAAAAUGCCUGGGGGCUGGAUGAAAUGAAGCAGAUUGCUGCAUCUCAACCUCAGGCUGGUGGCUUUCAUAAGGCUUUGACAAAGUAGCAGAACUAAAACCCAGUCUCCUCUUCUAAGAAGCCUGUGCUCUUAAUUUAAAUUUGUGGGAGGGAAAGAGACAAUAGAUUAAGAGAAGGGAGGGAUAGGCCAAGGGAUGCAAGGGAUAAUAGGAGAAAAUACCAUUCUUUUGAAGACAGCGUCUUAAAAAGCAGAGGCACCACCUUGCCGACAAAGGUCCGUAUAGUUAAAGCUAUGGUUUCCAUGUAGUGAUGUCUGGAAGUGAGAGCUGGACCAGAAAGAAGGCUGAUGCCGAAGAAUUGAUGCUUUUGAAUUAUGGUGCUGGAGGAAACUCUUGAAAGUCCCAUGGACUGCAAGAAGAUCAAACCUAUCCAUUCUGAAGGAAAUCAGCCCUGAGUGCUCACUGGAAGGACAGAUCCUGAAGCUGAGGCUCCAAUAUUUUGGCCACCUGAUGAGAAGAGAAGGCUCCCUGAAAAAGACCUUGAUGUUGGGAAAGAUUGAGGGCACGAGGAGAAGGGGAGGACAGAGGACGAGAUGGUUAGACAGUGUUUUCAAAGCUAACAACAUGAGUUUGACCAAACUGUGGGAAGCAGUUGAAGACAGGAGUGCCUGGCGUGCUCUGGUCCAUGGGGUCAUGAAGAGUGGGACAUGACUAAACAAAUAAACACCAACAAAUGUUACAGGUGCUUAAGUGUCAGUCUAGCUAAAGACUAAGGGGUUAAGUCAGCGCUUUUAAGAAACCAACAACCUUUUGAACUUGGGAAUCUCCAUUCCAGACAUCUUCCACAUCUACCCCCCCCCACCUGCUCUGCAUUAGAACAUGAAGAAGUCCUUGCACAAAACCACAUUCAUCACAUUCACCACUCUGAGGUUUUUCUAUGAUCAAGCAGUAUUUAAAUUUUAGGAAAGUUUUGUAAAGUUAAAAUAUGGGAAGGCGGCUUAUGUGGAAAACAUAAACAACAUUCACAACACAUAACAAAAAGUAAUAAAAUUAAAAGAAGAUGUAAGGCGGUGGAGAGAAGUCACAAUGGUAGGAAUAAGGAAAAUACACACACACACACACACACACACACACACUGGAGUACUGAAAACAGUUACAAUUUGGAAUGUGCUGUUAAGAAUGUCUAAACGUGUAACUGAAUGUAACAAUGUAAAAUAAAAUUGAAAAUAAUGGGAAAAAUAUUAGAUAAAUUUGAUAAAUUUGCAGAUAUUAAUACUGCACAGCAUAACAACUGACUCAUUGUCCAGGCCCAUAAAAAUAUUCAAAUUUUACCAGCAGAAGUCUUCAAAAUACAAAACAUAAGCAUCAACAAUGCAUCCCAAAAUAUCCAUACAGUAUCUUGUGCUGUCCAGCACAGGCUGAGCGACUUAGAAAUAAAAGAUAAUUCAAAAUAUCCAAACUGACUCUCUCCCCCAUUCCAGCCUGCUUUAGCCUGUCUCUAGCCCCAGGUUAUUACAGCUCUUAGGGAGCCAUUAUCUCUUUCCUUCUUCUUUCUGUCACUUCAGAGGAACUGAAACAGGCUACUCCCUUUAGAAUGGAGAUUUGCAACUCAAUACCUUCAUCACAUGAUCUAAGAUUACAACACCCAUGUGUUGGCUACCAGAGAGAAACAAUCAGAUACUUAAUCAUUAAUCCAUUAAGGAGUCCUUUGGAAAACAAAAUUGGGAAAACCCCAUUGUUAGCAACUCUUCAGCUAUACACAUUUAGCCACUUUCCAUUUCAAACCUUCAUUAAUAUGCAUACAUUUCAUUUCAGUGUGAAUUAAAUUGAUUAUAGAAGUAUAAGCCUUGGCUGGGGAGGGCGGGGUAUAAAUAAAUUAUUAUUAAUAUAAAUAAAUUCACAUAGGCUAAAUACAAAGGCCUGGGGCUUGGGUGCUAAUCCAUCACUGGUUUUAGGAAAAGAAGGCAGACACCCAUAUAACCCCUUUCCAAAGUCAUAAUGUGUAGCAGUUUGCAUAAGAGACUGCAGCAGCAAAAAACGCCAAAUAAGUCUAUAGCACAGGCAAUGAUAAUCCUCCAAUUUUGCCUCAGAGGCCAUGAAAAACUAGACCCAGCUUUUGCUCCAAGUGUAGAAGGAGAUCUAGUUUUCACUGAAGUGGGAAACUUAAAUCUAGUCUCUACCGCUUCAGACUGAAUGCUCUACUUCAUUCAGCACAAAGUGCUUAGCACACACAGCAGCUUCUAGAGUUGCAGCUGUAUUGGAAAACAAUCAUAUCAGCGGAAAACUAGGCUAAAGCCCUGCUACCUGGCAGGCUAGCUGUCUGUGUACAUGAACCCUUUGAGUACAGAGGGGCAUUCAGUUGUGCGAGGACCAUAAAGUGUGAUAAGACAUUACUGUUGAGAGAGAGGGAGAGAGAGAGAGAGAGAGAGAGAGAGAGAGAGAGAGAGAGAGAGACAGAGAAGUCAGCACAUCCAACUUGGCUUGUCCAAGUCAUGGGAUGUAGCCGGAGUGGCUCUCUGGAUCUUGCUCAUGCUUUUGUGCUUCACCACAAAGCACAUCUGGUUUCCUUCCACUGGGUCUAUUUCAUCACCUUUUAAAGAUGCAAAAUUAAGGAAGAAACUGUGUCCUUUGGGGACAGGCAAAUUACCCGUGGAAAAUCUGAUUCAUCUUCAUUUUCUGUCCUCUGUGGAAUACAAGCUUAAGGGAACAGCCAAUAAUCAACUUGGGAACCAUGAUGCUUUGAGCUAAUCAGUUCAUUUUGUUUUCCCAUUUAAACAUAAUUGUGCUCCCUCAACAACAGCUAAGGGGAGAAAAUUAAUCACUUGACACAGAAAACUACACGGAGUGGCAUUAGUUAGAAUUGUAUUUGUUUCCCCGUGGAUCCUGAAGAAUAGAUGGUGUACAUUAGCUGUGAAGUACUUGUUCAAGGCAUGCCGUUCCACGCCUAGAUGAAACCUGUUGAUGGGCCAAAGGGCAUAUUCCUUCAGGAGCUAUUGAAAAUAGCUAGCAGUUGAGACCUCCCUUGAUUUGCCCUGCCAGAGUAUGUUUUUAAAAGUCUGGCAUCAAGUGACACGUGAAUUUGUUUAUUUUAAAAUGAGAAGGAACACUUCACCUUGACCUCAAGAAAGGGAUAUUGCUACUACUAACAGGAGGAGAAAAAGUAGAAACUGCUGCUUCCUAACUCCUAUUGGUGGUAAUCCCGCAGGGACUGUUUCUAUCUGGCAGCCAACAUUAUUUGUGGCGGUUGCCAUAUUUCUCCCCAGAACAAGUGGUUAAGAGCAGUGGACUCGUAAUCUGAACCAGGUUCGAUUCCCCGCUCCUCCACAUGCAGCUGCUGGGUGACCUUGGGCUAGUCACACUUCUCUGAAGUCUCUCAGCCCCACUCACCUCACAGAGUGUUUGUUGUCGGGGAGGAAGGGAAAGGAGAUUGUUAGCCACUUUGAGACUCCUUCAGGUAGUGAUAAAGGGGGAUAUCAAAUCCAAACUCUUCUUCUUCUUCUAUAUCCAGGACAUUUGCAGGGAAAGAAAAUGGCAGCAGCAAUUUCACUGCAGCCACACUUUUGGUAGCACGGAAAAAAACAAAACAACCCCCCCCCCAAAAGCAACACACACACGUGUGUGUGUGUGUGUGUGUGUGUGUGUGUGUAAAUAUAGAUAGAUAGGUGGUAUCAUGGCUAUUGCCACACAUCAAACGUAAACAUAACCUAUGUGAACCUCUAAUGAAAUCUCACAGACUUCCACUGACUUCAAGCUGAAAAGGGCUCUUGAACUUAAAUGGCCUUGAGUUCUUCUCUGCCUUAAAAUUUAUAUCUGAGCUGAAUAAAAUCCCACACUUUUCUCACCCUCCCUCAUAAAUAUUCAUCAGCAUUUAGUGUGAAUUUCUCCUAAUAUUUUUGUAUGUAAUUUUCCUUAUAUACACAUUUUGGCAAAGCAAUUGUCCUGAUACAAUACAGUUUUGUAUGGCAUUUUCACUGAUAUUUGUAGGAACACUUUACCCAAUAUAUGCAUUUUUUUUUACAUGUUUCUUAUCAGGAGAACUGCAAUGCAAAACUCGGAUAAGUCUAAACUUUGAAUAAUGCUUGGGUUUCCGAAAGUGUGCCUUUAAAUGUGAACUGAGUAUCUCCCUCAUCUUUACUUUCAGUUACCAACCAACAAUACCCUAGAAGAAGAAGAAGAAGAGUUUGGAUUUGAUAUCCCGCUUUAUCACUCCCCUUCAGGAGUCUCAAAGCGGCUAACAUUCUCCUUUCCCUUCCUCCCCCGCAACAAACACUCUGUGAGGUGAGUGGGGCUGAGAGACUUCAGAGAAGUGUGACUGGCCCAAGGUCACCCAGCAGCUGCAUGUGGAGGAGCGGAGACGCGAACCCGGUUCCUCAGAUUACGAGUCUACCGCUCUUAACCACUACACCACACUGGCUCUCUACAGUCUUUCUCCCUUGACAUCCAUAGUAGUCAUUGGGAACACUACCUUUUCAAGGCCAGUUGCAUUUAGUGCUUUAUUACAGAGCACACCAGAAGACAGAGAGAGACUUUCCUCCUUUCUGUCACUUCUCAGAGUCUCAGCCAGAAAAGUGGGAGGCUGGAUUAUUGUUUGAAGGUAAUUGGGGAAGGGACUUGUAGAGGUGAGAGAGGCAUUUGAAUCAGAUCCCAUUACGGCUGUGCUCUAUGUUCAGCUAAAGCCUGAGGGGCUUUGGCCAAGUUGGGUGGUGACAACCCUGGAUCACCCCAGGUCAAGUAGCCCACAAUGAUCUGUGGCUGUCAGGGGGAGGAUGCCAAAUGGAAGAAUGCAGAGGUUUUCUCAAAAGGGAGUAUCAAACCCUUCACUCAUUAGCUGAGCAGAGGAUUCAAACCUGUGGAGUGCUCUGCAGGAUUUACUCCCAAUUCCUCCUCCCCAAGGCCAUUUUGUGGCUGGUUUCCAAGGUCCUAUUGCCACAGCAACCACCCAGGCCAACCACCAUCCACAGUCAAGGAGAAGUGAGUGAGGAGCCAUAGCCAACAAAUAGCCAUGGCUUGACCCGGAGUCUUCCAUGGAGACUUUGCCACCGCUGGAGGAAGGCCUGGGUGCUGUGGCAAUGGGGCUUGGGAAUGGGCUGCCUGAUUGGAAGGUGCUUGUGGGAGAGGAGUUGGGAUUCAAUCUUGUGAGAUACUCCUUGCAGCCAACAAGUCUAAUACCUCCUGCUCUUGGUUGGGAGAUUAGGCACUGAAAACCCAAAUCUCACAAAUGGAGUGGUUAGUCCCUCCCUAAGUUGGCUCAAUUCUAGAUCCUCUCACUUCCCAGUCAGUACAAUGGGGUAUCAAGUAGAUUGGCCUGGAUGAAGCCCAGCUAUUUUCUGAUGGGGGGGGGAUAGCUUGGUUUAAUCCAACCUGAGCCUAUUUUAUGGCAUGUACCAAUCACUAAUAAUAAUAAUAAUAAUAAUAAUAAUAAUAAUAAUAAUUUUUUAUUUAUAUCCCACUCUCCCCAGCCAGAGCUGGGCUCAGAGCAACUAACAACAAUAAAAUAAUACAGCAUUCUAAAAUCAAUUCAUUAUAAAAUCAGUUCAAAUCAAAUUAAUGGCAACCAUUGGGCUAGAGUUCUGUGAAGAUUACCAAAGGAGGGGGUCAGGCUGUGUCUUGGCCUGGUGGAACAGCUCUGUCUUGCAGGACCUGCAGAAAGAUGUCAAAUCCUGCAGGGCCCUAGUCUCUUGUGACAGAGAGUUCCACCAGAUUGGGGCCACAGCCGAAAAAGCCCUGGCUCUGGUUGAGGCCAGCCUAACCUCCCUGUGGCCCAGGACCUCCAGGAUGUUUUUGUUUGAAGACUGUAAGGUCCUCUGUGGGACAUACCAGGAGAGGCGGUCCCGUAGGUACGAGGGUCCUAAGCCGUAUAGGGCUUUAAAGGUUUAAACCAGCACCUUAAACCUGAUCCUGUACUCCACCGGGAGCCACUGCAGCUGGUAUAGCACCGGAUGAAUGUGAUCUCACAGCGAAGACCUCGUAAGGAGUCUCGCUGCGGCAUUCUGCACCCGCUGGAGUUUCUGGGUCAGUCUCAAGGGCAGCCCCACGUAGAGUGAGUUACAACAAUCCAGUCUGGAGGUGACCGUCACGUGGAUCACAGUGGCUACAAUGAUACAAAAUAAAUGCAUAUGGAAAUGUACUCUUAACUGAGGCUCUAAAACUAGGUGUUCUUUUGAAGCGGCCACAUUUGACUCAUCAAGAAAGAUCUUCUUUUGCUCCAGCAACAGCUGGAAAGAUGACUGUCAGAGCCUGGGAGGUCUGCCUGAUGUAUAGUAGGGGAUGGCCUUGCAGUUGAGCUGAUGGGAGGGAAGCAAAGAGAGCCAGGGCAGCAGGAGCCAAUUGGCUUGUCAUCAAGACAAUGGAAGCACAGGGCUGCCAAUUGUGAGGGAUAUCAGAGAAAUGCCAGUUGCCAGGCAAUGGAGGCAUGUUGCCCAGUCUCGUGAGACAUCAGCUGUCACAAAGCUGCUAGAGAGGAAACAGGAAGGAUCAGCUGUGGAGGAAACAGGAAGCUGAUAUCAGCUAAGAGGCAGCUGUAAACAUUGGAGAGUAUAUACCUGAUUUCUUACCAAUCUUUAGGGAAGUGUGGAGUUAUUAAAUAAUGAUGGUCAAAUGGCCCACCCUGUAAGCAUGACAGCUACUGAUUAGAAGAUUUAGAUGUAGUUAUGCAUCUCCUUUCUUUGUCUCCACAUUAUCUGCCAGCCUUGCAGAACAUUAAAAGCUGCACAGCCUCAUCCCUAAGCAAGGCUUGCAAGUUCAGUGCAGACUGGGGCGAGGGGGAGAGCAGGGAAAACAAAUACCUAUCUCACACACCACUGGCAGAGAACAAUGUGUCACCCCCAGAGGUAUUAAAAGUAAAGGAACCCCUGACAGUUAAGUCCCAUCGUGAACGACUCUGGGGUUGUGGCGCUCAUCUCGCUUUACAGGCCAAGGUAGCCGGUGUUUGACCGCUCCGCAUACAGUUUUUCCGGAUCAUGUGGCCAGCAUGACUAAGCCACUUCUGGCGCAAUGGAACACCGACACCAGAGCAGCACAUGGAAACACCGUUUACCUUCCUGCUGGAGCGGUACCUAUUUAUCUACUUGCACUUUGACGUGCUUUCGAACUGCUAGGUGGGCAGGAGCAGGGACCGAGCAAUGGGAGCUCACCCCGUCACAUGGAUUCGAACCGCCAACCUGUUGAUCGGCAAGCCCAAGAGGCUCAGUGGAGGUAUUACCCCUCCCCUAACACCCCAUGACAUAGGGAGGGUAACCCCAUCAAGAGCUGGCACUGGCGGAGGAACGGGGGGCGGGGGAGCGUACCGCCCCCAGCACCAUUGGGGAGGGGGGUACCAUCGCAGCCGCCCCAGGACACGUGCUGCACAAUUAUUAUUAUUAUUAUUAUUAUUAUUAUUAUUAUUAUUAUUCAAUACAAAAAGUCAUCAUAAAACAUACGUUCAAAAUGGAACAACUCCAUAUCAAAUAAAGUAACAUUCAAUAAUCCAGUUCUGAAAGUUUUCUCUUCUCCAUUGGGAAAUUAUGUGUGUCUACAGACUGUGGGAGUGUUGACAUCUGAGAACUGUCCUCUGCAAAAGGGAAGGGGUUUCUUCCUUGCUUUCUCUUUCCUUUGAAAUCUUUAUGUGUCCUUUAUAGCCAAAAGGCUGAGGAAGGAGCGCUGGGCAGGCUACAAUUUAACUACCCCUGGAAGCAGACCCAAGCGUCCCUGCUGGUUGGUUGGGCCCACCAUCAGGGGAACACCUGGCCAAAGCCUGCCGGUAUUGGCCAAAUAGCUGGUAGGUGGACGAUCCAACCUGGCAUUUGUUGGCUCACUUGGUGUGGCCUGAGACCUGGUCACAACACUGCCCACCGUGGAAGGUGACCAGACAUUCAGUCUUAUUAAUAUUUUAGCUAACUUUAAUCCUUGGCUAUUGUGGCAUGUAUUGUAUGACCACAUCCUAUAUGUUUGUAUUUUUCUACUUUAUCAUAAAAAGUUAUUUUAGUACAGAAACAUAAAAAGAAAGGGAAGACAAUUGUUCCUUCUGCUUCACUACAUUUCUCUGUAAAUUUAAAAAAUAAUGUUUACCUUGGCCAUGGAAGGAGACAGCAGCUUCUACCCAGCAGUACAGGAAAAAUAAAAAUGGCUUGAGUUGGCAAAGCAAAUUACAGUUUGUUAAUACUGAAUCUCCAAAAUGUUUCAUGUCUGUUGCUGCUAUCUUCUCUUAGGAAUGAAUGGAACAUACUAGUACAGAUGAUUGGGUGAGCUUGUUUGCAACAGCUGCGUGCGAAGUUGCCAAAUCUGAUUUUAUGUUAAGAAAGCUCAAACACCAAAUGUCCUGAUGCGCAUUAGAAUUCAUUUUCCUUCUCAGAAAAGGGCACCUGAGUCGUGGAAAGAAGCAUACAUUACACUUAUACCAAAAUCAGAGUCCGAAAAGACGCAACUCAAAAACUACCGUCCCAUAUCACUGCUUAAUGUGGAUUAUAAAAUUUUUGCAGAUAUCUUGGCUAAAAGAUUAAAAAAGGUGCUAGCAGAAGAAAUCCAUAGAGACCAAGCGGGCUUUCUCCCGGGCAGACAUUUGUCUGAUAAUACGAGGAAUAUAAUUAAUAUUUUAGAAAAGUUACAAGUGAAGAUUAAUACUAAAGCAGUUUUGAUUUUUGUGGAUGCGGAGAAAGCCUUUGAAAAUAUUUCUUGGAGCUUUAUGAAGAAGAAUUUAUUGGGGAUGGGGGUUGGUAAAAGUUUUGGAAAUGGUAUAGGUGCAAUUUAUUCAGAACAAAAGGCCAAAUUAAUUGUGAAUAAUGUAGUGACGGAAGAAUUUAAGAUUGAGAAAGGAACACGACAGGGUUGCCCAAUCUCUCCAUUGCUUUUUAUUUCGGUCCUGGAGGUUCUGUUAAAUAUGAUAAGAAGGGACCAAUUGGUUAAAGGUAUACAAGUGGGAGCCAAACAGUACAAACUGAAAGCAUUUGCAGAUGAUUUAGUAUUGACUUUACAGGAGCCAGAAUCAAGUACGAAAAGAGUAUUAGAAUUGAUUCAAGAAUUUGGUCAGGUAGCAGGUUUUAAGUUGAAUAAGAUGAAAACUAAAUAACUGAAAAUAUGGACUUGAUUGAUAUUUGGAGAACAAGGAAUCCUCUCGAGAGAGAGGGAACCUUUUUCUCUGAAGCAAUGAUGACCUGGACCAGAAUCGAUCAAAUUUGGAUUACUAGUGGGUUGGCUCCAAAGAUUAAAAAAGUGGAAAUCUGCCCAAAGACCUGCUCCGACCAUAACGCCGUGAGGAUGGAAAUGAAACUUACAACAACUGGUCAAUUCAGAUGGAGGAUGAAUGACACCCUGUUUCGAGAUGAGGAGAUCCAUAGAAAGGCCCAAAAAACUUUAAAGGACUAUUUUGAAAUAAAUCUAAAAACUGAUGUAGAAAAAAGAGUGAUCUGGGACGCAAGUAAAGCAGUGAUGCGAGGAUUUCUAAUUCAACAAAAUUCUGUAAAAAAGAGAAAGCAAAAUGAGAAGAAGGACAAGAUCUUGGAAAAGAUAAAAGAAGGAGAGAAGAAAUUGAGAUCAAAACCAAAGUCCCAGGAGAUUUUGAGAGAGAUUAAGUUAUAUCAGACACAAUAUAUGGAAUUGAUGAAUCAAGAGAUUGAAUGGAAGAUAAAACAAAUGAGACAAAAGACAUUUGAAUCUGCAGAUAAAUGUGGUAAACUUCUGGCUUGGCAAUUGAAGAAAAGGCAGAAACUAAAUACAGUUACAAGCCUAGAAGUGGAUGGAAAGAAUAUAUCUAAACCUAACGAGAUAAGAAAUUGUUUUUUGAGUUAUUUUAAAAAACUAUAUUCACAAGGACCACAGAAGGAGGAGGAUAUAGAAGAAUUUCUUAAAAAGUAUGGACUACAAAAAAUCUCUCACCAAAGUAAGGUGGAUCUAAAUCAGAGAAUAACAGAUCAAGAGAUAGAGGGUGCCAUUCAAAACAUGCAACUGGGCAAAUCUCCAGGACCAGAUGGACUGACUUCCAGAUAUUAUAAGGCUUUGAAGGAGUGGUUGGUACAACCAUUAAAGGAAGUCUGUAAUGAGAUCUUAGAGGGGAAAAGGGCACCAGAAUCGUGGAAAGAAGCGUACAUUACACUCAUACCAAAGACAGAGAUUGAAAAGAAUCAACUUAAGAACUACCGCCCAAUAUCAUUACUUAAUGUGGAUUACAAAAUUUUUGCAGACAUUUUGGCAAAAAGAUUGAAAAGAGUGUUGAUGGAGAAGAUUCAUAAGGACCAAGCAGGCUUUCUCCCAAAAAGGCAUUUAUCAGACAAUGUGAGGAACAUAAUAGACAUUUUGGAAUUAUUAGAGGUGAAUAUAAACACUAAAGCAGUUCUGAUCUUUGUAGAUGCGGAGAAAGCCUUUGACAAUAUUUCUUGGAGUUUUAUGAAAAGAAUCUUCAUGGGAUGGGGGUAGGCCAAGGAUUCGAGAAUGGUAUGGGUGCCAUAUACACUGAACAAAAAGCUAAAUUGAUUGUAAAUAAUGUGAUAACUGAAGAAUUUAAAAUAGAAAAAGGGACACGACAGGGGUGCCCUAUUUCCCCAUUACUUUUUAUUUCUGUUCUGGAGGUGUUGCUAAAUAUGAUUAGAGAUGACCAGCAGGUUAAAGGUGUACAGGUCGGAGCUAAACAUUACAAGUUAAGGGCCUUUGCAGAUGAUUUAGUACUUACUUUACAAGAGCCAGACACUAGUACAAAAAGGGUGUUGGAGCUAAUCCAAGAAUUUGGCCAGGUAGCUGGAUUUAAAUUGAAUAAACAAAAGACUAAAGUUUUGGAAAAAAUUUAACAGUCAUGGAGAGGGAGAAGUUUCAGAAUGAAACAGGUUUGACAGUGGUAAAGAAGGUGAAAUACCUAGGGGUUUAUUUGACAUCUAAAAAUUUGAACCUGUAUAAAGACAAUUAUGAAAAAUGUUGGUCGGAAAUUAAAAAGAUCUAGAAAUAUGGUCAAAUUUGAAAUUGUCAAUGUUAGGCCGAAUUGCAGUUAUUAAGAUGAAUGUAUUGCCUAGAAUGUUAUUCUUGUUUCAAACACUACAAAUUCUAGACAAGAUAGACUGUUUCAAGAGGUGGCAGAAGGAUAUUUCGAAAUUUGUCUGGCAGGGCAAAAGCCCAGAAUAAAAUUUAAAAUACUGACGGAUGCAAAAGAAAGAGGGGGUUUGCCCUGCCGGACUUAAAACUGUAUUAUGAAGCAGCAACUUUUUGCUGGCUGAAAGAAUGGAUGCUCCUCGAGAAUACAGACAUCUUGGACUUAGAAGGUUUUAACAAUACAUUUGGUUGGCAUGCAUAUUUAUGGUAUGAUAAAAUCAAGGUGCAUAAGGCCUUUAAAAAUCAUAUUGUCAGGAAAGCAUUAUAUAACGUUUGGAUAAGAUAUAAAGAUUUGGUGGAAAGUAAGACCCCUAGAUGGUUGUCACCUUUGGAAGCCACGGCGUUGAAAAAGCUUAAUAUGGAAGCCGAAUGGCUAAAGUAUCGGGAAAUUUUGGAACAAGAUGGAGAUAAGUUGAAGCUACAGAGCUAUGAGAAAUUGAAACCCAAAGUACGAGAUUGGCUCCAUUAUUAUCAAAUAAUGGAGGUGUAUAAACAAGACAGGAAAAUUGGCUUCCAGGUGGAGAAAUCAAAAUUAGAAACUGAACUGUUAGAACCCAAUACUAAGAACUUGUCAAGAAUGUAUAAUUUGCUGCUGAAAUGGAAUACACAAGAUGAAACAGUUAAAUCAGCUAUGAUUAAGUGGGCACAGGACAUUGGUCAUAACAUUAUGUUUGCUGACUGGGAAUGGUUGUGGAACACCGGUAUAAAAUUUACGGCAUGUAAUGCCAUAAAGGAAAAUAUUAUGAAAAUGAUCUAUAGGUGGUACAUGACUCCAGUCAAGCUAGCAAAAAUUUAUCAUUUGCCUGAUAAUAAGUGUUGGAAGUGUAAAGAAACUGAAGGUACUUUUUAUCACCUUUGGUGGACGUGCCCAAAGAUUAAGGCUUUCUGGGAAAUGAUAUAUAAUGAAUUAAAAAAGGUACUUAAAUGUACUUUCUUGAAGAAACCAGAGGCCUUUCUCUUGGGCAUUGCCGGCCAAUUGGUAUCAAAGAAAGACAGAACUUUUUUUAUGUAUGCUACGACAGCAGCAAGAAUACUCAUCGCAAAGUAUUGGAAGACAGAAGAACUACCCACCUUGGAAGAGUGGCAGAUGAAGGUUAUAGACUAUAUGACAUUGGCGGAGAUGACCGGCAGAAUCCGUGAGCAGGGGAAAGAGACGGUGGAAGAAGAUUGGAAGAAAUUUAAAAUCUAUCUAAAGAACUAUCAUAAAAUUGAGGAAUGUUAAAAUGUCGAGGUUUGGAGAAAGAAAAGGAGAUUACAGCGACAUAAGAUUAAGUUGAAGAAAAAAAAAAUAAGAAAAAUAUAUUUGAUAAAAUUAUUUAGAAUUUGCUGAAAUAAUUUUGGAAAUUGGGAUGUAGGAAGGGGAGGUUUGGGGAAGUCCGAGAAGAGAGGGUUAUGAAAAAAAAGGUUAUGAAACUAUACAUGUUUGUAUGUCUUUUUAUUUGUUUGUAUUGUAUAAAACUUGUCUAUAAAAUCAAUUAAAAAAUUAUAUAUAUAAAAAAAAGAAAACUAAAGUUCUGGAGAAAAAUCUGAAUGUGAUUGAGAGAGAGAAGUUUCAGAGGGAGACAGGUCUGACACUGGUUAAGAAAGUGAAAUAUUUAGGGGUCAAUAUGACUGCUAAAAAUGUGAAUUUAUUUAAGGAUAACUAUGAAAAAUGUUGGACUGAAGUGAAAAAAGACUUAGAAAUAUGGUCAAAAUUGAAGCUAUCGUUGCUAGGCCGAAUUGCUGUGAUAAAAAUGAAUGUAUUGCCAAGAAUGUUAUUUUUGUUUCAAUCACUGCAAAUUUUAGACAAAAUGGAUUGUUUCAAGAAGUGGCAGAGAGAUAUUUCCAGAUUUGUCUGGCAGGGCAAGAAGCCUCAUAUAAAAUUUAAGAUUUUAACUGAUGCUAAAGAAAGAGGUGGAUUUGCCCUGCCAGACUUAAAACUUUAUUAUGAAUCAGCCGCUUUUUGCUGGCUGAGAGAAUGGAUGCUUCUUGAAAAUACGGAUGUUUUGGAUUUGGAAGGUUUCAAUAAUGUAUUUGGUUGGCAUGCAUAUUUGUGGUAUGAUAAGGUCAAAGCACACAAAGCAUUCAAAAACCAUAUUGUAAGAAAAGCACUGUUUAAUGUCUGGAUAAGAUAUAAGGACUUGUUAGAAAAUAAAACCCCAAGAUGGCUGUCACCUAUGGAGGCAAAGGCCCGGAAAAAACUCAAUAUGGAGGCCAAAUGGCCGAAGUAUUGGGAAAUUUUGGAACAAGAGGGUGAUAGAUUAAAAUUACAGAGCUUUGAAAAAUUAAAAAACAAAGUGCGAGAUUGGCUCCAUUAUUAUCAAAUAAUGGAGGCAUAUAAUCAGGAUAAAAAACUAGGUUUUCAGGUGGAAAAAUCAAAGCUGGAAAUAGAAUUGUUAGACCCUAAAGUUAAGAAUUUGUCAAGAAUGUAUAACUUCCUGUUGAAAUGGAAUACUCAGGAUGAAAUGGUGAAAUCUGCUAUGAUUAAAUGGGCACAGGAUGUUGGACAUAAUAUUAUGAUGGCUGACUGGGAACAGUUAUGGACCACUGGUAUGAAGUUUACGGCAUGUAAUGCCUUAAAAGAGAAUUUAAUGAAAAUGAUUUACAGGUGGUACAUAACACCAGUCAAGCUUGCAAAAAUUUAUCAUUUGCCCGAUAAUAAAUGUUGGAAAUGCAAUGAAACUGAAGGUACUUUCUUUCACCUUUGGUGGACAUGCCCAAAGAUUAAGGCAUUCUGGGAGAUGAUCUAUAAUGAAAUGAAAAAGGUAUUUAAAUAUACCUUUGUAAAGAAACCAGAGGCCUUUCUCCUGGGCAUGGUGGGCCAAUUGGUGCCAAAGAAGGACAGAGUUUUUUUCAUGUAUGCUACAACAGCAGCAAGAAUACUCAUCGCAAAGCACUGGAAGACACAAGACCUACCUACCAGGGAAGAAUGGCAGAUGAAGCUGAUGGAUUACAUGGAAUUGGCGGAAAUGACUGGCAGAAUCCGAGACCAGGGAGAAGAGUCAAUGGAAGAAGAUUGGAAAAAAUUCAAAGCUUAUUUACAGAAAUAUUCUAAAAUUAAUGAAUGUUAGAAAGAUGCUGGAAAGAAGUUAUAUGACUUUAGUAGAAAUAUUAUAAAGAAUCAAGUAUGAAUAGAUUGACAUUGGGUAAAGAUGUAAAUUUAAGUCUAAAAUUGCGUUAAGUUAAAUUAUGGAACUAAAUUUGUGAAAGAGGGAAAGGACUUGCUGGAAUAUUUAAUUGAACUAGAAUACAAAAAAGGAGGUGUGAGGAAGUCGAGGAAAUAAGCAAAUGAAAGAUAAGGAUAUGAAAAUAUGGGGUUCUUUUGUAUGUUUGUUUGUUCUCUUUUGGGUUUUUUUUUAAAUGUUUUUGUUUUGUUUUCUUUCUUUUUUUGUAUUGUUGAUGUUUUGUACUGCUGUAUUUGCUUUUGAGGCUUUGUAAUUGUUUAUUGUUUAUAUUUUUUUCUUUUGUUUUUUUUUUCUUUUUUGUAAUGUCUAAACUUUAAUAAAUAUUUUAUAUAUUAAAAAAAAGAAUUCAUUUUCCUUCUUUAGGGCACAUAAAGUGUUCUUGCCACUAUAGAAAAUGUUAUGAAAUAUAUAAAAUGCUGCCUAGCUUUCUUGGUCAUCUUACCGCCUACUGUAGCAGGAACGGAAUAGGUAAAUGCCGUCUCUUUUGUGGCUCAUUUGACCUUAAUGGCAGCUAUAUUCCAUGCAUAAUUUCCAACUUGCCAUCUAAUAUUUCUGCUAUAAAGCAUGCAAAAACAUUUGCCUGCAAUUGAUUUUGCACACACACUCUUUGUCAUUUGAAGGGAGUUGUCUUCCAGACAAACCACAAGUUGUAAACCAAGAGCAAAUCUUGGUGUUUUAAUUUGUGUCUGUAAUAUCCUAUUAGCGUUCCUCCUCCUGCUGCUGCUGCUGCGUUCUGCACCAGUUGAAGUUUCUGGACCAUCUUUAAGAUCAGCCCCACACAGAGCACAUUACAGUAAUCUUGCCUGGAGGCAUGUGCUACAGCAGCAAGGUCCACUUUCUCUAGCGAAAGCUGCAGCUGACUAACCAGCCAGUGCUGGUAAAAAGCACUCCUGGCUAUUGCUGAUGGCUGAGUUUCCAUGGAAAGCAGUCAAUACAGCAGCACUCUGAAGCUGUGUCCCUGUCUGUUUAUGCAAUCCCAAUGAGAGCCAGCUACACAAAGGUUAAAGGUUAUAGAUGCUUAAUUAGCAGAAAUGAACAAAGAAGGGAAGAGGGAAUCUCCAGUGUCAAAUUAAAUCUGAAGCAGCAACAGAGGCCAGGCAUUCUCAGGCUGUGAUAGGAUGACCACCGGAAAGCGUGAGUGCCCGGGUGAUGGAGUGCAGUCAGGCAGAAUGGUUGUUCCCAAGAAGGAUCUCAAAGGCACAUUUAGUCCUGAGAUUCAAAAGCAUUAUAGCUUCUAGGAAACAAAAGACAAAUGUGUCUACUGAAAGGGAACUUUCUGGAGAAAUAAAAGCAGGGAGAUGCUAGGGCUAUCUUCUGAAAAUGGAGCAGUAGAUACUGGAUGCAUAUAUAUGGUGCUACAUGGAAGGUCCAAAGGAACAGUGGGCAUCAUCCACAGAUGAGUGGCAAGUUGUUGCUCUGAUUGCAUUGGAUUGGGGCAGUGGGCUCAGCUUGUCUGAGGGCUCCCUGGUUCCAUUUCACUGGAGGCUGAUGAAUAUCCCUGACAUCCAGCCCUGCCACCAUUUUAAGGUUAAGGUUAAGGGACCCCUGGCCAUUAGGUCCAGUUGUGUCCGACUCUGGGGUUGUGGCGCUCAUCUCGCUUUAUUGGCCGAGAGAGCCGGCGUACAGCUUCCGUGUCAUGUGGCCAGCAUGACUAAGCCGCUUCUGGUGAACCAGAGCAGCACACAGAAACACGGUUUACCUUCCCGCCAGAGCGGUACCUAUUUAUCUACUUGCAAUUUGACAUGCUUUUGAACUGCUAGGUUGGCAGGAGCAGGGACCGAUCAAUGGGAGCUCACCCCGUCACAGCAAUUCGAACCGCCGACCUUCUGAUCGGCAAGUCCUAGGCUCUGUGGUUUAACCCACAGCGCCACCCGUGUCCCUUAAAGGUAAAGAUAAAGGUACCCCUGCCCGUACGGGCCAGUCGUGACCGACUCUGGGGUUGCGCGCCCAUCUCGCUUAAGAGGCCGGGGGCCAGCGCUGUCCGGUGACACUUCCGGGUGACGUGGCCAGCGUGACGAAGCUGCUCUGGCGAGCCUGCACCAGCGUACCACACGGAAACGCCGUUUACCUUCCCGCUAUAAAGUGGUACCUAUUUAUCUACUUGCACUUAAGAGUGCUUUCGAACUGCUAGGUGGGCAGGAGCUGGGACCGAACGACGGGAGCUCACCCCGCUGCAGGGAUUCGAACCGCCGACCAUACGAUCAGCAAGUCCUAGGCGCUGAGGUUUUACCCACAGCGCCACCCGUGUCCCUUAGUUGCUAAUAAAAUCAUGGUGGUUUCUAAAGGAAGCAUCAAUUGUCACUGCAGCUCUGCGGUGGCUGAGUUACAAUGCACAAAAGGGUACAAGGACAUAUUGAUUCUCAAUAGUUAAUGUUUCUGUUGCUUGCAGAUAAUUUCCUUUUAAGAGGAUAGCAGCACUUCUGAUCACCUCUGUCUACUGGCAGGCUGACUCUAUGAUCUUGCUACACUGGCAGCUUUUACCACAAGAACUAACAUCAACAAAAAUAGCUCCUUGAUGACCUGUUUAUGAAGCAUUCAUCCUAAUUUGCAAAAAGUUUGCAAGGAGGUUAGGCAGUGCUUUUUUUCCUUUCAGCUAGAGCACGCCAGAGGACCUCUCAGGUGAGUGCCAUUGUCCCCCCCCCCCCCGCAACUUCUUGCCUCUAUGUACUUCUGAGAAACCCAAAAUAAACAUUUCAAGUCAAAACGAAAGCUGGCCAGCAUGCAUGAAUCUACACCAGGAGUCAGCAACCUUUUUCAGCCGUGGGCCGCUCCACCGUCCCUCAGACCAUGUGGUGGGCAGGACUAUAUUUUGAAAAAAAUAAUGAACAGAUUCCUAUGCCCCACAAAUAACCCAGAGAUGCAUUAUAAAAAAAGCACACAUUCUACUCAUGUAAAAACACCAGGCAGGCGCCACAAAUAACCCAGAGAUGCAUUUUAAAUAAAAGAACACAUUCUACUCAUGUAAAAACACGCAGAUUCCUGGACCGUCCGCAGGCCAGAUUAAGAAGGCGAUUGGGCCACAUCCGGCCCCCGGGCCUUAGGUUGCCUACCCCUGGUCUACACUCUUUUUUUAGAUCUAUGACUCUACUUAGCUCUGAGCCACUCUGGUACAUGAUUAAAUCCCAUUGAAAAACAAUGACAGUUUGGUAAAAGGUAAAGGUAAAGGUACCCCUGCCCGUAUGGGCCAGUCGUGUCCGACUCUAGGGUUGUGCGCCCAUCUCACUUAAGAGGCCGGGGGCCAGCGCUGUCCGGAGACACUUCCGGGUCACGUGGCCAGUGUGACGAAGCUGCUCUGGCGAGCCAGCACCAGCGCAGCACACGGAAACGCCGUUUACCUUCCCGCUAUAAAGCGGUACCUAUUUAUCUACUUGCACUUAAGGGUGCUUUUGAACUGCUAGGUGGGCAGGAGCUGGGACCGAAAGACGGGAGCUCACCCCGCCGCGGGGAUUCGAACCACCAACCAUGCAAUCGGCAAGCCCUAGGCACUGAGGUUUUACCCACAGCGCCACCCGCGUCCCUGUUUGGAAGCACCCCCAAUUGUCAACCCAUAAAACAGAAUACCCUUCACAUAGGGAUGGCGAGAGCGUUCUCCCAUCCCUAUCACCUGAACCAGUGCCUAUCCACAACCUUACAGGUUGUGACGAUUUCCUACACAUCAGGCGAAACCCAAAUGGCAACAGCCAAUCAGCGAAGUGGGGAAAAUUCCUGCCGUGCCCCUGUCCCAGCAACAGAUGACACAUGAUGGCAUAGCAAGGUCAAGUGCAAGCCCUAAAAUUAGGGAGAGGUGGGCGGGUGUUCCGAAUGCACAAGCUGAAAGAAGAAGCUCUGGGUCACGUGCAUAGGUAUUUAUAGGUCCCUCGAUCUGUUGAGACAUCACCCCAUUGGCCAAAUUAAACCCAGCAAUGAGGGACCUACCAACUGGGUGUUGUGGCUGUCCAUUAUACCCACCCACAACCAAGAGGUCAGUCUCCAGGUCUCACCACAACACAUGCCCUCUUUUAGAGAGGACACACUCUAUAUAAACAGGAGACAAUGCAGCAACACCAAGAGACACUUCCAUGGUAGUCCUAGCAACUCCACUGCCACCUACCUAUUAUGACACUGAUGGUGCCCCCUUAAUGAAGGCAGCAGUCUAAAUUAGCUAUGCACGGAAUAUACCUAUCCAUGAUUGCAUGGAGGCCACAAUUGUGUCACACUAUGCAGUGUGCGCACAUACAGCACUGGCAGGAAGAGCUGACAGCACCUCCCGUGUCAGAGGCCAGAACUGUUCAUCAGAUAGCAAAAAUAGCAAUUAACAGCUAUAGCAGCAACCUUUCUAGGAUUCCUCUCAGCCAGAGCUCAGGCCCCCCAGGAACUCACGCAAAGUUAGGAGCAGUACAAAAGGAAAAGAUACAAUCAGCCAGCAUUUCUCCGGGGAAGAGAGCCAGGUUUGGCAGGGAAGGAAAUUCUACCAUUCCAGUUACAAAAACAAAUCACCAAUUGGUAAGAAGAGGAAUGCAAAUGGAAUUCAUAGGAUAAAAGCUCUGCAAGAGAAGUCCUUGAGUCCUAUUGCUGCAAGUACAUACCAAGAUAAAACACCAUUUUCAACCCUCCUGUUCCUUUCAGAGGCAAAGGAGUAACCCCAAGAGAAAUGGCGAAAGGCAACAGAGGAUGGCAUAUUACCUUUGCAUCUUGAAGAAGAAGUUUUAAAAUAACAAAAGACCACCCCUGCGAGACUAUUUCUUUUUAGGAAAGGGUUUUAUUUUGAACUGGUGGAUGUUGUAAUACACUUUUAUGUGGAUUUCCCCAUUCAAAGCAUUAGUCAGUUAUUUUAAAUUGUGCCAGGAAGUUGCUCCUUAGUUUUCUGUUUUCAUCACAGACAAAAACCCAGCUAGCUAUUUUGCAUCUUGCCUAGGUACUUCUCAUCAGGUCCCCAUUUAGAAGACAGAACUGGGCAUUGUGCCAGGCUAUUGCUUGUCAGUUUCCCCCAAUUAAAAGAAAAUACAUGGCUGUGUAUUGUGCUUUGGUAUUUCACAUCACACUCAUUAUUGUUGUUCACUAAUCCCCCAUUUAAGGGCCAGACCGGCUGCUAUUUCGCAUUGUUCUCAGCCAUUGAUCAUCAUCAGCAUCACCUGGUUUUUUAAAGGUCUGAACCAGAAAGCUAUUUCACUUCUUGCUAGCCUUUAGCCGGUUGGUGUCUCUCUCCCAGAUCAAGUGACACUUUUGCAAACCCAUUUCUCUCCCAGGAGACAUUACCAGGAGUGGAUAUGAACUUUUGCCACCCUUACUUUGCAUUUACAACAACCAUCUGCAAUAUACUAAUAAUAGGAGAAAUAGUGUAAUUAUUAGUUUCUCCGGACCAUCUCCAUUCCUGCUACUUAUAUCUCCCAAACUGGCAUGCUGCUUUCUUUUCUAUUCAAUCCUACUCUUCCAUUCCUUUCUCUCCAGGGACCUUAGGUUUAAAUGAGAUGUGCAGUCCCUGGACAUUAAGCACCAGACUUGAGUGUGCUCCUCAUCCAAACUGGGGGUUGGUGGGUGAGCUAUAGAGCUUACCUGAAAAUAAUUGGGUUGCAGUACUCAACAUUUGCAGGAUGCGGGUGGUGCUGUGGGUUAAACCACAGAGCCUAGGGCUUGCCGAUCAGAAGGUCGGCGGUUCGAAUCCCCACGACGGGGUGAGCUCCCAUUGCUCGGUCCCUGCUCCUGCCAACCUAGCAGUUCGAAAGCAUGAAGUUCAAGUAGAUAAAUAGGUACUGCUCCAGCUGGUUUGCCAGAAACGGCUUAGUCAUGCUGGCCACAUGACCCGGAAGCUGUACGCCGGCUCCCUCGGCCAAUAAAGCGAGAUGAGCGCCACAACCCCAAAGUCGUCCACAACUGGACCUAACGGUGAGGGGUCUCUUUAGCUUUUACUCAACAUUUGUAUUAGUAAAGUUGCCAGUGGCAUUUCACCUAAAGCAAAAUUGGAAGAGGACAACACUUGGAUAAAACAAGUGCAAUUUCUUUGGGGCAGGAACUGAGGGGGCCAAACAUUCCUAAGUGGCAUCCAAAUUCUCCUGAAGCCAUGAUGGAUAAACUGUGGCCAUUCAGAUGGUGAUGGACCCCAGUGCACAUCAACCCUAGCAUUGUCAGUGAUUAGAGAUGUAGUCCAGCAACCUCUGGAGGAACACAGACAGCUUCUCCUGACCAAAACAAACUCAAGGCAAUUCUGGAGGUACUUCCUCAGGUGAAAUAUCUGUAAAAUUGUGAGGGAUGCUAAUAAUGUUUCUCAAGGAGACACUGCAAAGCCCUCCAUUUCAGCAUUUAGCAACCUAUUGGAAAUGUUUCAGAUUUGUCACUGAGGUUUUGGCCAUCAAUGGUAUUGCAUCAUGCAAAUACUGAAUAUAAGGAAAACUAUUAAUUGCUGCCCAUUAUGUCCAAAUGCAGAGCAGGCAAUCAGCCUCCCCACUGACAAAGUUGUGACAUUUGCGGCUUUUUUCCUGCGGUAGGAGUAUGACACGGGCAAAAAAGCCUGUGACGAUCAUGGCAAGCUAGAUUUGCUAAAGUGCACAACAGUUGUAUCCUCCUUACUCAUAAUCACUUAUUAGUUUUCAAGUGCCUGCACCAGAAAAGAAUACACAAAUUUCCAGUGAAAUUACUUAUGGUUCGCUAAAGGGCAUGGCAUGUAAAAGCAACUGUGUGCUCCUGUGUAACAUCAUGAAAAUUAAAUGAGGGUAAUCAGAGGUUUCUUGGAUGGAACUAAUUUACCCAUUAAUCUUAACCAUAGUAACCUAGUCACAGCUACUGAAUAAAAUUACACAAAGGAUAAGAAUCAGGGAACCUGCAGAAACACCAGAGUGGUCAAAGCUCCCCCACCCCCCACAACCAAUAAGCAAUCUUGGGAAGGGGCAGGAGACUCAAGAAGGGGAAUGAAAGACACACUCUGACAGAAACAACCUCUUGUGGCUAGCUGGACGGCAACAGGACAGGCAGCAAGAUGACACAAGAUGGUGUUGGAUUGAGGAGGUGUGUGAAGUCAGGCUUGAGGACCUUCAGUCCUUUCCAGUCCCAUGAUUCCCUGCUGCAGCAUCAGGUUAGGCUCUGUCAUGGAAUUUAUGCCUCUUAAGCUAAAACGGUAUUCUGUGGAUGUCAUUGAUAAAACAGUAAUGUCAUAAAAAACUAGGAAAUGUUUUACUGAUCCUGAAGGUGAAUGAAUGAGUCAUCCUGGACCGGAUACAAAGUAUCUAUUCCUUUGUGGUUUAGUUACAUCAAAGCCCUAAUUUAGGAUACUGUUCCUGUGAUUGUUCUCAGGUACUAAAAUCAAUGGUGCAUAUUAGUUGUUUGGGGUGAGGGGGUAAAAAGUAAAAGAUUGAUGGCAAGAACCUAUAAUCAUUAAAAUACCUUUUAAAAAUCCCUACGAAACCUAUGCAAUAUUAUUCUUUAAAGGUGCUUUUCCUGACUUCCUCUGGUUCUUUUGUGUUUGCCAACUGGCUUGGGCAUAAAACAUAUUUGACUUUGUAGGUCAACUGUAGGUUUGCUUGUGUGUGUACACACAAGCAGGAUACUGACACUCUUUCCCAUGUUGUCCAUUUGUGAUACAACCUCAAGCGCUCUCUCUCUCUCUCUCUCUCUCUCUCACACACACACACACACACACACAAUUCUCUGUUAUUGAGAGGUCCCGAGGAGGAAGAGGUAGCGAGAGACUUGACAACAGCUCAAACCAAGAAUCUGCCCCGGCAACAAGGAACAGGAAUGCUGGAGGGAGGGACUCAAAAGCCAUGAGUUGUGUCCUUGGCCAACUUCUUUUCCUGUGCCCAAAAUAAACCUUGCUGCUUCUCUUAGACAUGGGAGAUAAGGAGACCCUUGGCCAGUCCUUUGAGGUGUUGCAUGCUCUAUUCACCAGCCAGCAGGUUCUGGGGUAUACUGUGAGGUGCAUUUAUAUUAACCUGAGGGGACCUCUCAGGACCCUCUCUCCAUAACUUUCUUUCACUGCUAACCCUUUAAGGGAUACUUUCCUUCCUGUUUCAUGCCCUCUUUUCAACGUCAUUAAAGCUCAUCCAUUAGGGCAUCCUAGGCUAAUUCAGACCUAUAGUUGGGCCUGGACUGAGUCUAUACAUCCAAGAAUGCUACAAAAUACCCUCCAACAUUUCUCUGAUGAAAAAACUGUGGUACCUUGGUUCUCAAACUUAAUCUAUUCCAGAAGUCCAUUCCAAAACCAAAAACCAAGGCGCACUUUCCCAUAGAAAGUAAUGCAAAAUGGAUUAAUCCAUUCCAGACUUUUAAAAACAACCCCUAAAACAGCAAUUUAACAUGAAUUUUACUAUCUAACGAGACCAUUGGUCCAUAAAUUGAAAGCAAUAAACAAUGUACUGCAGUCGCACAAUCAAUCAGUAGCCGAACUGAGUUCCACACAGUCACAAAAAUGAAAGAAAAAAAGAGCCAUGAAAAUGCAAAAUAAACAGCAAAAAUAGACAGACCUCAGCAUAACAUUCAAAAUGGAAGUGUAGCAAGUGUGGCACUCAAAUUGGAAGUGUAUCUCUCAAAUUGGAAGUGUAACACUCAAAAUGGAGCAUGUUUGGCCUCUGAAAAAAGUUCACAAACUGGAACACUUACUUCCAGGUUUGCAGUGUUUGGGUUCCAAGUUGUUUGAGUACCAAGGCGUUUGAGAACCAAGAUACCACUGUAGGGACGUCCCAUUCCAUAAUGAUAAUUAUACUAUUUAUACCCCACACAUCUUAUUGGGUUACCCAGACACUCUCGGCAGCUCCAAACAUAUAAAAAAUAACAAUAAAGCAUUUAAAAAACUUCCCUAUACAAGAUUGCCUUUAGACAGCUUAGGGGCCAGAUAUCUCCAUACCCUCCAUCAUGAAAAUAGGGACAUCCUAUGGAAAAGUAAGGGACGCGGGUGGCGCUGCGGGUUAAACCACAGAGCCUAGAACUUGCCAAUCAGAAGGUCAGCGGUUCGAAUCCCCAUGACGGGGUGAGCUCCCGUUGCUCGGUCCCUGCUCCUGCCAACCUAGCAGUUUGAAAGCCCGUCAAAGUGCAAGUAGAUAAAUAGGUACCGUUCCAGCGGGAAGGUAAACGGUGUUUCCGUGUGUUGCUCUGGUUCUCCAGAAGCCGCUUAGUCAUGCUGGUCACAUGACCUGGAAGCUGUACGCCGGCUCCCUUCGCCAAUAAAGCGAGAUGAGCGCCGCAACCCCAGAGUCGGCCACAACUGGACCUAAUGGUCAGGGGUCCCUUUACCUUUACCUUAUGGAAAAGUGGGACAUUCCAGGAUCAAAUCAGAAACUGGGAUGGUUUCUCUAAAUCAGGGACAUCCCUGGAAAAUAGGAACACUUGGAAGAUCUGCUACAACCGUUCCACAACAACACUCUUGAGCACCUCCCCCCCCAAAGGGGGCAUUUGGGCAGUAAUUGUUACAAACCAAUGGGUCCAGAACAUGGUGUGUCCCCUACACACAGUAGUUAUAUCCCUGUCUCUUUCAUAUUUUUGUGCAGCAAUCUCUAUAUUUCACUCAGCUUUCAACCCUUUCCAUUGACAUUGCAUGUUGUGGUUCGAGGACCCGAUCCCCGCGUAGUGGAAUGAAAACACAAGGACAGGUGAUAUAAGGUUAAUGGGCAAGAAAAGGCCACAACUUUAUUGAUUACAGCAAGUGAAAAGGUAUUGGCUUAGGCAUUGGAUUACGUCAGCUGACUCCACCCCCUCAGAGAGGGGUGAGUCUAAAACAGGGGGGUUUAUUCACCAGUAGGUGGAGCCUGUUGAUGCUAAUCCAACUAUAAGCUCUCCCCUGAUGUCACCGAGGGUCGUGCCAUGGCCUCCCGCCACGCAGGCAUCGGACAGAAUACAUGACCGCCGGAUUCCUUUAACGGAAUACCCAAAAUUGAAGGUGCAGGCGAUGGCCACACCUAGCCCUUCGACACACCACAACACAUUAUUCCAAUGGCUAACCGCCACCCGAGCCCAAAAGGCUCGCCGCCAAUACCCUCACAGCUGUAACCAAUCCCUGAUGCUGCUGCUGAUGCUAUUUAACCAAAUGUCAUUCCCUUGGUCUGAAAGAUGAACCCCAUCAUUCCGGUACAAAGCCUGAUCGCCAAUCUGGAUACGGUCGUGAGAAAUGACUCGGCCAUUCAUAAAGCGCACCCAACGGGCUAUUGCACGAUUUAAGAGUUUCCUGGAUUUUUCAAUGGCCAUACAGUUCUGCGCACCGCGCCAAACAAUUCUCUUCAGGAAGGAGGACCAGAACACCGUUGUUCCGGGACACAAGGCAGCAAUCUCAUCCAAAUCUCUUUUUAUGUUCCACGACAAGUCCACACUUCUUCUGUUAACAAGGUCAUUUCCCCCUAAUUGAAGGAUAAGGGUGUCGGGAGGGCCAAACAUGGCGACUUUCUCCCUCAGCAAUGGCACAAGCUCUUCCCAACGCAUGCCUCCUCUCGAAAACCAGGAAACUCGCACUCCAGGUGGCAACCCAAGAUUAGGGGUGCGGCCGCAGCUAGCCGACACGGGCCCAAUGGACUAUACUGUGGCCGCAAAUCCAAACACUUUUUCUGAGAACCGCUGAGAAUAAAGGAAAGAGAAAGACGGGUAAGUAGAGAUAUUGCAGCGGAGUGCAUACUAGCGAAUGUAACCUUUAUAAGCGUCGGAUUUCCACCGGCCCAUUUCUUUAAUCCUAUCCGCCGGCAGACCCAAGCGUGCCGCUGUUGUGGUGGCGCCAAUCCUGAAUGAGUGUGCAGCAUAAUCCUGGGAAGAUAAACCACAGGCAUCAAUAGCUUUGUGGAGUACCCUUGUGAAUUGGGGCCGGAAGGCUGGUGCUGCAGCAAUUUAGGCUGCUAAACACGCCCCCUCACAGGCACCUGGUUGGGUGCCUGCCUGUGGGCGUGGGCCCCAGCCAGGUGAGUGGGAGGCAGGGGGCUAACGCCCCCUGCUUGAGGCGGAGUCCGGCUCCCGACCACAACCACUCCCCUCUCUUGCAGGAGGAGAGUCUUUAUCAGUUUUACAAGCCUUUCAUAAAAAAAGAAACCUUUGCUGUCACAACCAGUUUGUGAUCAUAAACUGAACCACAAUAUGAAGAGAAAAGUGUGACAAUGUAUGGAGAUAUAUGGCAUCAUUUCACCAGUGACCAUCAGUACCAAAACAACAUGGGGCAAAGCAUGUUUUAGCGUUAUUAUACAGUUCAUUAUGUGAAUGAUGAUGCAAACUAUCACAUUUAUCUGGGAGAAAACUUAAUGUAGCUUUUUUCUGGGGAGAACUAAUAUGCCUUCACAGUUACAGAGUCAUUUUGGGUAGAUUUCCUGAGAAGUAAAACUCACUCUGCAUUCACUGGAGUUUGUCUUUAAAUAUAGGAUUUCCAGCGUUUUUUAUUUAAAACAUUUAUUUGGUUCUCUUCAACUAUGGCAGGCAUAGCACCUUGCAAAAUAAAACAUAAAGGCAGAAUGAACCCAGCAAUGAUAAAUUUCAGCAGGAAGUUAAAACUCCAGCAGAACAUGAAUGUGAUGUGACAGCUGUGCUCUUCAAAAUUUUAUUUUGUGAAGAUGUCAAAGGCAUGCCGAAAAUGGCAGUAGAGUGGGGCCAUUUUUGGCAACAGCCCCUGCUUCCUUGCACCUUGUCUUUGGAAAGUAAUUAUGUGACGCACUGUGUACAUGUGCACACACGUUUGUUUGUUUGUUUGUUUGUUUGUUUGUGUGUGUGUGUUUGUAUAAAAAUGUAGCUCUUGAACCCCUUCAUAGAUGUAUGGAGAUAUACGGCAUUCUUACUGCUGAAGAUUACCACUGCAAUAAAUCUGUGAUGCACACCUUUCCCUAGGACCCUCGUACCUACGGGACCGCCUCUCCCGGUAUGCCCCACGGAGAGCCUCAAGGUCCAUAAAUAGCAACACCCUAGUGGUCCCAGGCCCUAAGGAAGUGAGAUUGGCUUCAACCAGAGCCAGGGCCUUUUCAACUCUGGCUCCGGCUUGGUGGAACGCUCUGUCUCAUGAGACCAGGGCCCUGCAGGAUCUGAUUUCUUUCUGCAGGGCCUGUAAGACAGAGUUGUUCCGCCUGGCCUUUGGCUUGGAGCCAAUUUGAUUUCCUUCCUCCCUCUCUUUCUUUUUUCUUUUCCUUUCUCCUCCUGUGAUGAGGCUGCAUUUUAAUAUUUUAAUGUUUCAAUAUUUUAAUGUUGUAUUUUAAUUUUGUUUUUAAGUUGUAAUCAAUAUCAACUUGUUUUUAUUAUUGCUUGUUAGCCGCCCUGAGCCCAGCCUUUGCUGGGGAGGGCGGGGUAGAAAUAAAAAGUAUUAUUAUUAUUAUUAUUAUUAUUAUUAUUAUGUGUGCCAGGAGUUGCUCUAGUGGCAAUAUUCUCUGCACUUUACAAGUUGUACAGUUCUUAAUAUUGACCAGUCCAUGGUGUGUCAUUGGAAAGAGCAGGAUAAACCAUCAACCAUCACAACACCUGUAUACCUUCACAUUAAGGAAGAGGUAUUUAUUCAUCACCUACUGAGAGCUAUUUUGGGUUGAAGAAUAUUAAUGAGUUAUGUAGCUCACUCAUGCAGCUUCUCAUAAUAACGUAUCUGAACUUUAUUAACUCUUUCUUAUACUCUGCAGUAACAAUGAUUCUUGGCUGAUCUUACUAUGCUUUACACCGGGGAACUACAACUGAACUACAAUUUCCAUUGCCCUUGAAAAAUACCUAUGCUGGAGCUAAUGGGAGUUGAGUCAAGCAACACCUGGAGGGCUUCAGCUGUCCCACCUCUACUUUCCAUCUUUCCUUGCCCCAUAAAGCCACUUUCCUUCACAGGAGGGAGGGAUUGCAGGCUGGCCUCACACUCUCCUGCACUUAGUGGGGGCAUGACGAGUCCCCCAUGUCAUGGGGGAAUUCCGGCCCAUGUCACGCCUGCAGCCAGCCAAUUUGGCUGGCUGGGGAGCGUAGUUUGCCGCAUUUAAGUGCCCUCAAUCUUUCCCAACAUUAGGGUCUUUCCCAGGGAGUCUUCUCAUGAAGUGGCGAAAGUAUUGGAGCCUCAGCUUCAUGAUCUGUCCUUCCAGUGAGCACUCAGGGCUGAUUUCCUUCAGAAUGGAUGCAUUUGAUCUUCUUGCAGUCCAUGGGACUCUCAAGAGUCUCCUCCAGCACCAUAAUUCAAAAGCAUCAAUUCUUCGGCGAUCAGCCUUCUUUAUGGUCCAGCUCUCACUUCCAUACAUCACUACUGGGAAAACCAUAGCUCUAACUAUACGGACCUUUGUCGGCAAGGUGAUGUCUCUGCUUUUAAAGAUGCUGUCUAGGUUUGUCAUUGCUUUUCUCCCAAGAAGCAGGCGUCUUUUAAUUUCAGGACUACUGUCACCAUCUGCAGUGAUCAGGGAACCCAAGAAAGUAAAAUCUCUCACUGCCUCCAUUUCUUCCCCUUCUAUUUGCCAGGAGGUGAUGGGACCAGUGGCCCUGAUCUUGAUGUUGAGCUUCAGACCAUAUAUUGCGCUCUCCUCUUUCACUCUCCUUAAUAGGUUCUUUAAUUCUUCCUCACUUUCUGCCAUUAAGGUUGUGUCAGCUGCAUAUCUGAGCCUAAGGCAUGUUUUAUGGUAAAUACAUCUCUCUCUCUCUCUCUCUCUCUCUCUCUCUCUCUCUCUCUCUUUGCUGGGCUGGAUGGGCCUUUGGCCUGAUCCAGUCUGAUCCUCUUAUGUUCUUAGACACUGAAACAAAAAAAUGGCAUUCAUCAGUCAGAAGGAGCUACCCUCAGUGUGCACUGAUUUGGAGAAAAACUAAAGAAAGCUGGAGGCACAGCUUCUUUGAUAAAUGGCAGCCAAAAUUAUGAGUCAAUUCUGAAAUCUUAAAACUAUAUUUUUGAAGCAUUCUGUAAUAAGGCAUGUAUACUACAUGCUGAACCAUUUUUUAAAAAAUUCAUUUUCAUUAUAGCUAUACAGAGAGUUAAGGCUCAGGUAGAUUAUUCCACUUCCAUAUUAAAAGGGGGAAAGUAAAACUUCUCAUAUAGUUAUUUUUUAACCCCAUCUUUUUUUAAAAAAAUGAGUAUUUUGUGUGUUUUUUUGGUUUUUUGCCUGAAAGUUGUUUCACAGGAUACCAAUAGAUGGGGCAUAAUGAGGUUCUAACUAAUUGACGUUAUCUUUUCAUUAGGCUCUAAUGAUUUGAGUAAGGUAAUGUUGAGGGGCGAGAUAAAUUUAGACUAAUGAGGUAACCAAUUACAACAACAUCCAAGGCAGGUAUUUUACUGUCUCUGAUUCCUCCUCCUUCGUCUUCUAUUAAUCCCUGCUGGUGCAAUCAGCUGUAGAAGGUGAAGCAUCCUGAAGUGUCCAUUAUUAGCAUAUUUUGAUUUCUGAUAGAACAGGAAAGAAAGAAAGAAAGAAAGAAAGAAAGAAAGAAAGAGAAAGAAAGAAAGAAAGAAAGAUGCAAGGCACCAGUACUGGAAAUAAACAUAAUCAGAAACCUCAAAGGUACACAGGAAUCAGAAAUAGAACACGAGGAAGUAAUUGUAAACAGAAGUUGUUUCUUCUCUCUCUGUGCUUGAUUUGAUGCAUAUUUUUAAUCCUUAGCUUUAUGACAGAGGUGGGGAACCUGUGGCAUAGCGGCUGACUGUGGCCCUCCCACAUUCUCUAGUUGGCCCUCACAAUUCUCCCCAGGCCACACUCUUCACCAGCUCUGCUCCAGAGCCUCCUCAAGUGUUUUUGGCUGGCUGGGAUAUGUCAGUGAACUCCAAUAAGAACUCUUGCUGGCCUGCAUGGAGGAGAGAGACAGGUAUGAGAUUAUGUAGAAACUAUCUCACUUUGCAAAGGUAAAAUUUUAAUUCAUUGUUCUGCACACUUUUGCCCCUAGUGUUGCCCACGACUGGCAUGUGGACCUCAGAAGGGAUUGCGGUCCUUGCACUGAAAAGUGUUUCUCACCCUUGCUUUAUGACAAUAACUGGAAAUGUUUGAAUCCCUCGGAUAUUUGAAGACUGCAGGUUGCUAUUGCAAUAAAUCUGUGGUAUAAACCUUACUCUUGUGGGAAAUGAGCAGCCAAAUCCAGCAAUGCAUAUUCUUGCCAGUUAGUAUGUGAAGGGUUCCCUUUCUCUUCAACCAGUGACAGGAGCAGACAUACCGUAUUUUUCGCUCUAUAAGACGCACCAGACCAUAAGACGCACCUGGUUCUUGGAGGAGGAAAACAAGGGGAAAAAAUCUGAAUCUCAGAAGCCAGAACAACAAGAGGGAUCGCUGUGCAAUGAAAGAAGUGAUCCCUCUUGCUGUUCUGGCUUCUGGGAGAGCUGCGCAGCCUGCAUUCACUCCAUAAGACGCACACACAUUUCCCCUUACUUUUUAGGAGGGAACGGUAUAUCCAACUGCCCCAGCUCAGGCACGUCUGAAGCUGCUUAUACUGUAAAUAUAAGUAUUUUGCCUGUAUUUAUUUUGCUGCUGUGAAUAAAUACAAGACUACGAGUAAGUAAAUCACAUUUUAAACUUACUUCUCAGUCUGUUGUCUGAUUCUUUGUUAAGCAGGGUUGGAAAGGAGGAGCUUGCUUUGCAGUUGAACUUAUUUAAUUAAAGGGUCUCACAUGCUAAUUCUUAUGCUUUCAAUUAAACUGCUUAAAGAUGGGAUUUAAACUCUGCUCAGCUGAUCUCUUUUUAUGUUCAACCCACACAUAUGGCUGCCUAGAGCAGGGGUAGGCAUUAAUGCAUAAGACGCACACACAUUUCCCCUUACUUUUUAGGAGGGAAAAAGUGAUUCUCCUUUCAUUAAGCAAACCUACCCAGACAUGUAAUUUUGAUGCAAAUUUUGGCAUUUAAUUCUACUUUAAUGCGGAUUUUUUAAAAAAAUAAUGAUUUUUUAAAACUUUUAUUUUUUGAACAUUUUCAGAUCAGCUUGCUUUUAAAAUUUGAUUUUAUGUGUAUGUUUUAUACUUUUUUGCAAACCACUGAUGAUGAUGAUUAAAUGAUAUAUAAAUCCUGCUAAAUAAAAUGGAGAAUUAUUUUUUGAGCCCAUGCCUUCCAAGGCAUCAAGUGAAGAAAUACUUGGUGUAGGUAAAUCCAAAGGGCAGAAAUUCCUUCUUGCAUCACUAGUGUGACAUCAACAAUGCGUCACUGAGAAUUGUGUGCAAGGCAAACAUGGGAGAUAAUCUUUGAAGGCACUGACCCUAUUUUCAAAUGCAUUUCUCAGCAAUCUUGAGUUAAAAUAUUUAAAAGAAAAUCCAUGGGGUAACUAUUUUUGAAAUGGAGGACAUUGCCAUUAAUAUUACAAUCUUCAUUUCUAACAAGAGUACACUAUUUGUUCAUGUAAUAUAUUUUUCUGCACUGUUGAUGUAAGUACUAGAGAUGGGAUUUGAAAACUUAAGGUGUUCAUACCAGAAGGAUUUGCAGAAAAUUCAUUUCUUCCUUAUUAACACCAAUAUGAACAUAAUACUGGUCUAACACACAGUUUUCUUACCCUCACCCUCUUUUUGCAUAACAAUCUCUUUUUCAGUACACACCCUAAGGCCUUUCUCAGUUGAAACAGCGAUCAUUAGUCAUGGCAGAUAGACAUGGCUAGACAUAAAGCUGCCUUCAAUGACAUACUAAAAGAUGACUUCUGAAACAGCCUGACAUUAGGGAUUUAACUUCCAAAUUACUUAGUUCCUCUUCAAAUUAUUUAAUUGCAUUGGACUGGAGCUUUUCUCUUCUGGAUUGGUGUGUGUGUGUAAGGUCGAGCAAUGGCAUUUCCACUGACUCUUUAUGUACACCAUACAAGCAAACUGUUAAUUUAAUUUUAAUGAGAUAGGUAAAUGAAUUCUUAAUAUUAUUUUUCACAAAAGCAAAGCACUUGGAUUUCACUUGGAGAAGCUUGCGAGUUGGAAUCAGGUUGCAGUGGGUGUGGCAGAUUUGAUUUCUGAGGUGGUUUUUGUUGCAGCUUAGCUAAUUAUUAUCCUGAGUCACUUUCUGUUCAAUUUGCUUUCCAUAAAAGUGUGUGUGUGUGGUAGGGGCAGAAAACUUCAAGCGAUGGAUGUGAAAAAAAUCUUGAAAAAGUCUGUGGAUAGUUUAAGAAUAAGGUUAUGUGAUUGAACGCACAUCUUAAUGUACCUUCUGCUCAAAGCAAAGGAGUAUCCAGAUGUAUAAUCAAUUUAGGGCCAUUGAUUCUAAAAACAAAGUUGGCCCGCCCGUGAGACAAGGUGAGGUGACCACCUUUUGUGGCAGGAUCCACAGGGGCAGCAGAUACCAAUGUAGAUCUUUAUUUUCCCCGCUUGAGUCCUGAUUUAGAUUUUCGCUCAUUCCUUCUUCCCCAGUGGAAGAGGGAUGUUGUUUUGUUUGCCUCAGAUGCAAGAAUGUCUUGGGCCUGCCCUACCUAAAAGCCAGGGUAUUCAAGAUAUUACAAGGACAUCCUGUAGUGUCAGGGAACUGACAUCGGAGCUAGAGGUGGAGGCAAGGCUCUCUAAUGAUGCUGGAGAAGGGCCCAGCAGGGAGAGAGGCAGCUCAGCAGAUGGGGAAGCAAUUCAGUGCAACACCAGGAAUAAGGAGGGGCAGAUGGGGGAAUCGGUGAGAGGGCUCCCAGACUCUUCACCGGACACCAGCGGGGAGAGCACUGGUCCUCCGCUACCCACGCCCUCCCUGUGCAGAAGACUUCCGCGCUGCGAAAAUAGGAGGAGACUGGGUGUCAAACAACUUUUAUGUUGGAAAAGGUUUAAGAAACGCCCACUGACGGAUUCUGCUAGCGACUGAGGCAGUCACGAAUUGAAGGGCUGUCCAGACAGAAAGGUUUAACAAGGCAACAUAGCCAGGAGAGGCGGCAACUUACGCACGAGCAACCCCAUACCAUUAUAUGUAGUAAUCAUGGAGCUGAAAGGUAGCCAACUCUAUAGAAAGAAGAGGGCCAAUUCAACACAUCCAUAGCUGGUAUUUGGUCUGUGCAGGUAACAAGAUACACUCAGGAGCACAUCACUCAGGAGAACAUGUGUCCUGAUUUUUGACAUGAAGAAGUAGGCCGAUGUAGUGUACAGUUGCACCACUCAUCUCCACAACCUCUUCUCUUACAUUGUUAAGCUGCUUCAGUAAAAAAAAAAAAAAAAAAAGGUAAAGGACCACUGACCGUUAAGUCCAGUCACGAAUGACUCUGGGGUUGUGGUGCUCAUCUUGCUUUACUGACCGAGGGAAGAAGAAGAAGAAGAAGAAGAAGAAGAAGAAGAAGAAGAAGAGGAAGAAGAGGAAGAAGAAGAAGAAGAAGAGGAGGAGGAGGAGGAGGAGGAGGAGGAGGAGGAGGAGGAGUUUGGAUUUGAUAUCCCGCUUUAUCACUACCCAAAGGAGUCUCAAAGCGGCCAACAUUCUCCUUUCCCUUCCUCCCCCACAACAAACACUCUGUGAGGUGGGUGGGGCUGAGAGACUUCAGAGAAGUGUGACUAGCCCAAGGUCACCCAGCAGCUGCAUGUGGAGGAGCGGAGAUGCGAACCCGGUUCCCCAGAUUACGAGUCCAUCGCUCUUAACCACUACACCACACUGGCUCUCAAACACUGUGUUUCUCCACAGACAGUUUUUCUGGGUCAUGUGGCCAGCAUGACUAAGCCUCUUCUGGCACAAUGGAACACCAAAACCAGAGCAGCACACGGAAACACUGUUUACCUUCCCGCCAGAGUGAUACCUAUUUAUCUACUUGCACUUUGACAUGCUUUUGAACUGCUAGGUGGGCAGGAGCUGGGACCUAGCAAUGGAAGCUCACCCCAUCACAGGACUUCGAACUGCUGACCUUCUGAUCGGCAAGCCCUAGGUUCAGUGGUUUAGACCACAGCGCCACCCGAGUCCCUAAGCUCCUUCAGUAGUACCCCAUAACUGACCUACCAACUGCUGAGCUCAGGGGCAAAAGGAAAGAAAAGGAAAAAGGAAAAAGAAAGAAAUGGUAUUACAAUGCUAGAGCAACAAUGCAGGAAAUCAGGUGAUGAAGCUGAGAGAUCAUUGUGGCUGGGCCCUACUCUGCGACCAUGGAGGCAACAAUAGUUUUAAACAAAAAAUAGAUUUUUGUUAAUCUCACCUAAAUAAUACUUGAAGAUUAUUCACAGAACAGUGUUGUUGCUUUUUAAAGAAUGAACUAGAGGGAGAGUGAUUAAUUUCUUCUCUAUUUCAUAGCAUAGCACAACAAUGAUUCACUAGGUAUGUGCCAUUAAGGGGACCUGCAUUGAUUUCUACGUCUUUUGCUCCCCAGUGCAAAACAUUUACUUUUCUGUGUUUCAGAGAUAAGCUGGGGGGGGGGGGCGGUAUUGGAGACAAGAGCAUGCUCUCAGAGAUGACUUUGGAAAGCUACAUAAUGGGAUUGGGUAUCUGCUGGAAAAUAAACAAUUAGCCUAAAAAUCGAAGGUUUACAAUAGGGAUUUCUCCAAAAUUCAGUGUUGUGUCAGCAGUUAUUGUCCAAGUAUCAUUUUUGUGAACAUGUAAAGUUACUUGAAAAUCUUCAUUCCUGUAGAGAGACUGAAAAUGUCACCCCUCUGCCCCAAAACCAAAUUGGCCGACAGCAUUUUAUAGUUAACUUUCCCCACCUAUUGCUAUAAAAGUGCAUUUCAAAACUGAGUUGUCGCUUUCCCCUGAGAAGACCCCAAUUCUCACAGGCCCUUAAAGCAUACAAUGUCAAGGUGCAUCUCCUGAGCAACCUGGUACCAUGUUUUCGUAGGCCACAGAAAUGUUGCCUUGACAUAGCAACUUUUGGAAGCUGCCCAGAUUGGCUAGGGCAACCCAGUCUGAUGGCCACCAUAUAAAUAAUAAAAAGAAAUAGAAGUCCAAAUCUCUAGUGGACACAGCGAAUGGUUCUUGUAGCACAGUUCUUGGGAGUUUGGUCACCUUUGUCGGAAUAUUCAAGGUGACCUAUAAUACGUGUCAAUCAAAAUCAACGAUUUAUACAUCCAGAAUAAUAUAAAACAAUAACCUCAGUGAUAAAACACAGCAUCAAAGCAAUCAAGAAAUUGAACAGCACAGUGAAGACAGCUUUCCUCUUAGCGAAGAAAUGAUGGGACAAUUAAAGAUGACAUUGUGUUUAAAAAUGCUGGCUGCGUUCCGAGAUGGAACACUAAUUUCUGAAUGUUUCAACAGAAAUUCAAGGGGAUGAUGACAUCUGGAAUAGCAAGGUUUGAGCUCAGCAGCAAAAGAGGUCAAUGAGAAGGGUAGGUAGACUUUUCCAGGUUUGGUGUUCCAUAUAACUGCUUUGAGGGCACCCCCCCCCCAAUCAAGCAAGUGUAUAAAUUUUAUGAAAUAGAUAAAGUGGGCACUACUACCAUAGUAUAAGUCCUGCUCCAUAACCUGGCAAAUAAAAUAUCAGAAAAGCAGUUUUGGGGUGGGGGUGGGGGUGGAGAGACAGAUGGUGCUAGCAAUCACUGGCCAACUUGUAAGGGAUCAAUAGAGCUUAACAAAUGCAGGGCUCACCCAGUUUAUCCAAAUUUAUCCAAGAUUAUCCAAAUAAUAAUAAUAAUCAGAACCUUCAGUUAGGUCCAGCAGCAAACAGCCUCUCUUAAGCAGAGUUGAUCAGAGCAUUUAUAAUACUUGCAAAGAGAAACCUGCUGGUAAAAAGGCAAUUUAUUACCCCUAAUGCAAUUAAUUAAUUAAGAAUGCUGCUCGCCAAAGAAUUGAUGCUUUGAAUUAUGGCGCUGGAGGAGAUUUUUGAGAGUCCCAUGGACUGCAAGAAGAGCAAACCUAACCAUUCUUAAGGAAAUCAGCCCUGAGUGCUCACUGGAAGGACAGAUCCUGAAGCUGAGGCUCCAGUACUUUGGCCACCUCAUGAGAAGAGAAGACUCCCUGGAAAAGACCCUGAUGUUGGGAAAGAUUGAGGGCACAAGGAGAAGGGAAUGACAGAGGAUGAGAUGGCUGGGCAGUGUUCUCAACGCUACCAGCAUGAGUUUGACCAAACUCUGGGAGGCAGUGGAAGACAGAAGUGCCUGGCGUGCUCUGGUCCAGGGGGUCACGAAGAGUCGGACAUGACUAAAUGACUAAACAACAACAAUGGAAUUAAGACUUAGAUUAUGUUUCAAAUGCUUCAGCUCAGUGUAGGACAUUUGUUAAGCUGCUGAUGGCAUUGUUCCUGUAGUCCUCAUUCUCCAAGGAAAUCGACAUUUUCAUUUUCCAAGCUGCCAGUCCUUGGAGAGCAGGGCAUUCAUUUCUUAAUAUAACAUGUCUCCUCCUUUUUGAAGUCUUUCAAACUGCGGUGCAGAAUGCUUCCAAGUGCAAAAACUGCCCAUGCCUUCCUAUUGACAGCGCUUUUAAUGUUACUUAGGCAAUCAAAUCCUCAUCACUAGCUCUCCUCCCAUGCUUUGGAAAGAAACAAUAAUUAAAAAGCUCUUGCUGAAAUGUUUGAUUCAUGCAACAAAGCAAUUUACAGCACAGUAAAAAUCCAGCAUGCAUUAAUGCUGUGUUUCAGCUGGCACAGUCUUCCUCUUAGCAUAGAAAUGACGGGACAUACACAUUUUGCAAUUAAAGAAGACAUCUUACAAUGUGUUCCAAAGAGCUCCUAAAGUGAAUACUAAUUUCUGCAUGCUUCAAUUUCCUUUCCCAUUUUUUAAAAACUUGUCUUUGCAUAAUUAUAAGUUAUGCACUUCAUCAUUUGAAACUGUUGAAUGAACUGGUGAUGGAUUACAGAUGGAUGUGCGUAACAUUCCCAUUUUCUUUUUCUGAAGCAAACAUUAAAAAAACAACAACCCACAAAGCUUUUCCAAACACCAGCAUCACAUGUUCUGGAUAUGUUUGUUGCUACUGUUGCUGUUCCUCCUUUUUAUAAUUUCUUAGUGGUUGCUUCCAUCAUUAUGACAGAUAACAUUCAAAGUGAACCUAGUUUCGCAUUCAGAGCUCAGACUGCUUACUAUUGAGUAGAGUGCUGGUAUACUGCUCAUUAUUGCUUUCCAUUAAAAAUGAAAGUUGAUUUUCUGUUUCACAGGGUGCUAGGAUAUUGAACACCCUUCUCCAUCCUAGUCAGUUGACUUAGCUGCACAACAUCUUCCACAAAAAUAUGCCAUUUUUCUUUCUUUCUCAGGUAGCUGAAAGAGCAGUGAGGAAACCUAUUGCUUUCUUUGGAACAUGUCUGCAUUUUGGGAAGUGCAAAGGUACAGCUAUUCACAGCAUAAUUAGGAUUUUGCCAUCUCCAAGGUGAUUUGAAGGUACACUGAAUCAAAGCUACACUAUACCCUAGAAUUAGCUCAAGACCUUUUGGAGCUGAUGUUCCAGAUGUCAGAUUUCAUCCUGACUGGCAAGGUUUCAGAUGCAGAAGAAUUUCAGAUGCCACUCUUCAAAGGUUAAGUCUAACUUGGCAGGCACAAAUAGGGCCCUCACACAUUCCACCUGAUUCAAUCUACCAUCUAACUUUGUGCACGUCAGACCCCUCUUUAAAACAAACUCUUAGCACCCUGCCUUAAUAUGCUCUUGCCCCCAGCCCCCAUCCUCCUUGGCUGAAAGGUUGAAGCAGUGAUAAUUGGUGUCACAAAGUGAUGGGCAGACUCUGUACAACUCUCCUUGAAAAACUUUUGAUCUUUCUCAAACUUUUCAGCCUCUCUCCCCAGCCUUUACCCCCACUUCCUUAUUAUUGUAAAAACAACUUAUUGCCUUCCUCCAGAGCCGUCUUUCCCAUAGGGCUUAGUGGUGCAUUGUGCCAGGGUGCCGACCUCUCAAGGGUGCCCCAGUGAACGGGGGAGCUGCACAGUUUUGCUGGUGGCCUCCCCUUUCCCUGGAUGCCCGUCAGCUGCACCCAGUCAACCAGAUGGUUGGCGGGCGUGCAACUUGCCUCCCAAGCCUCCACAAAAGGAGACCGAUCCCUGCAGAGGCUUAGGAUGGAAGCUGCACCCCCCCUCAAUCUGUGGUAAUUUGGGGGUGGAUAUUUGCACCCUGGUGCUACAUCUGCUAAUGACGGAGCUGCCUUCCUCAUUUCUAUUUAGCCCUUCCCAGUUCUCAAAAUUCAGAUGUUUGGGGUGUCUGUAGAUUUUUUGUUUGGGAAGAGUGGAGGGGGAGAACUGGCAGUGGAGAAUCUGUAAGCCACGGGGAAGGAAUUCAUAUUUUGAACUCAUCUGAAUAUGCAUAUUUAUUCUCUCUCUCUCUCUCUUUCACACACACACACACACACACACACACACGGGGUGGUGGGAGACUUACUAAUGUAAAGGUAAAGGGACCCCUGACCAUUAGGUCCAGUCGUGACCUACUCUGGGGUUGCGGCGUUCAUCUCACUUUAUUGGCCGAGGGAGCCAGCAUACAGCUUCUGGGUCAUGUGGCCAGCAUGACUAAGCCGCUUCUGGUGAAACCAGAGCAGCGCACGGAACCGCUGUUUACCAUCCCGCUGGAGCGGUACCUAUUUAUCUACUUGCACUUCGAUCUGCUUUCAAACUGCUAGGUUGGCAGGAGCUGGGACUGAGCAA
Podarcis lilfordi (Lilford's wall lizard) is the source of this 51242-nucleotide non-coding RNA. Lineage: Eukaryota; Metazoa; Chordata; Lepidosauria; Squamata; Lacertidae. The record is from the annotation of a GenBank genome assembly.